Molecule: long non-coding RNA, 80995 nt
Filed under: Cicer arietinum (chickpea)
Lineage: Eukaryota; Viridiplantae; Streptophyta; Magnoliopsida; Fabales; Fabaceae
Description: long non-coding RNA (CARI_LNC002126)
Rfam family: tRNA (bases 55914-55987)
Source: RNAcentral
GCUAUUUGACAAAACGAGUAAAACCUGCAGAAGUUUAUUUGAAAUGAAGGAGAUGUUCUUGUUCGACAUAGUGAAAUUAGAUAAAUACCAUAAAAUAGAGAAGCUGUCCAUAAAAGGUACUUACUGGUCAUAUAAUUUAACAAGAGACUGUGGCCUUGAAUAACCGUCAUCCUUUUUUUCAGUUUUUAAUAUGAAUUCACUUCUUGGUUCUGUUUGCUCUUCUUCACUAUUUACUGCUUUCGGUUUCCCUGUAUUCCUUGAUUCAGGUUUCCAAUUCGCUUUGAUAAGAGAUUGACUUAGUAAGUGAGCAAUGUUUGAAGCCAUUGCCUCAGCUUUCUUAACAAAUGGAAAUUUUUCCUCAUCAAAGUGGUUUGAUAACCACAAAUAUGAAGAUAAAACUUGAUGCCUACUCUCAAGGUCUAGGAGUUCUGAAUCGUUCCGCGCCGAACAUUUUGGCAUCCCCAUAGCUAUACUUACAGGUACCUUCUGACCAAACGCUGCAGCGAAUUUGAGCAAGUGGUACAUAGCUUUUGGAUCCCUAACAUUAACAGGUGCAAAACAGAAGUUAAAACGAUCAUCUAAUGAUAAUCCUUGGAUCCUCUCUAACAUAUUAGCGAUUUUCUUUAUGUGAUCAUGUCGACACAAGAAGUACGACCCGUCCAAACGACAAUUUUCGCCAAAUUUUUCUAAAAGCUGGCUGAAUGUCAAGUUAGAAAACUGUCCGGCAAACAAUUCUACCUGCUCAUAAAAAGGAAAAAGGCCAGCCCUUGUCACGUGAUCAAAGGGUUGUUUCAAACACUCAAUCAAGUAAUCCAAAUCAUCUAAAUGUAAGGUAGUUGCAAGUCCAUCGGGAUAAAGGCAUCCUCUUCGACCAGCUCUCCCUGCAAUCUGCUUAACCUGUGAAGCUGGAACAGGAAGAAUUUUGUCACCGUUGUACUUUGAAAGUUUAUUAAAAAUCACCCUUCGAAUGUUAAGGUUCAGGCCCAUCCCCACUGCAUCACUAGCCACUAGAACGUCGUAUUCAUUACUCUGAUCGUUGAACAAACUAGCUUGCUGUCUACGAGUUUCUGGUGGCAAAGCUCCGUAGAUAACACAACAUCGGUGAUUAGUGUUUUUCUCGAUGGCUAAUUUAACCUCAAAUAUCUCUCUCCUUGAGAAUGCAACAACACAAUCACCAGACCGAAUAUUUUCAAGAUUUCCAAGCAGAGUCUUUGCCUCAACCACCAAAGGUUUGAACCUCUCAUAAUGGUGCUCACACAACUCAUCUCCUGUAUCCUCACAUAUCUUUCGAACAAUAUCCAGAACACUAGGAUCACCGCAUAAAUGUAUCUCGUCAGCCUUCAAACCAAGCAGCGCCCUAGUCCAUGCAUACCCUCUAUAAGGAUCCGCCAUCAUCUGAAUCUCAUCAACAAUAGCAACUUCAUACAAUUCCUGUGUCGAAGCCAUUUCCACAGUACACGCAACAUGAUUUGCAAAUGGUACAUGCUUCUUCUCUUGACCAGUUAACAAACUACAAUAAACACCCUUCGCAUUAACCUUAUCGAAAACCUCCAUAGCCAACAAUCUAAGUGGACUACAAUAAAUCCCCUUCUUUGCCUCCAUAAACCUUUGAAAAGCAUUAUAAGUUUUACCACUAUUAGUAGGACCACAAUGAUAAAUUUCAUCGCCCUCGCAAAAGGAAACCAAGUGUGAGGUUUCGUGAGGUCAGCUGACUUAACCAUAUCCCUAAACCUCUUAAUUUCAUCAGGAAAAUUAACCAAACAAAACUCAACAAAUACCGGAAACAAAAACCUCACAGCAACAUCACACGGUCCGAGUGAAAUCAAGUACUUGGCAACAUCAGCAGAACAUCUCUUCCUGAAAAAGUUCCGAAACUUGUGCGCGGCCGUCGGAAAAAAACGAUAAACCAAUGUAAAUAGCAAGUGCUUGGUUUGACGCCCAGCCCGAUUUCGCAAAAUAAUCGAACACAUCUGUUAAAACAUCCACCUCAGCUCUAGCCAACUUAACACCCUUUUCAACACUCUUAAGCUCACCAUAUAAUUCAACAGGAUCUUCCGACGCCACAUGAGUAAAAUCCUCUAAUUCAUCAUCAUCCCUAUUAUCAUUACUAGUACAACUAAUACUACUAUUACUACAUUCUACAGAAUCAACAAUAUUUGAAUAACAUUCAUCAUUACCAUAAUCUAAAACAACCCCAUUUUCUGAUAAAUCACAAACAUCAUCACUAACCUUAGUUCCAACCUCAAAAUUACCAAUACCCUUUUCGAAUUGCGAAUCCUCGUCAGUCGCAGCACCACCAUCCUCGCCGGCGGUGAAAAAGGGUCCUCGCAGCACCACCAUCGUUUCCUAGUUGAACUAGUCGAAUCAAUCUGCCCAAUUCAAUUUUUAAAACAUUGAUUAAGAGGAGAUAUAAAGCUAAUUUUAUGGAUGAAGUGAGAGAGGUAGGAAGUGAAGUCAUAAGAAAUAAUUAGGAUUUGAUGUCACUCCAACAUAAUAUUAACAAAUUUAUCAUACUCAUAUUAAUUAUUCCACAUUUUAGUAUUAAUCAAAAAAAUAAAGUGAAAUUAGUUUUUUUAACCCCUUUGAUUUUUUUAAUGUGUUCAAAUUGAUCCAUUAAUUAAUUUUAGAUUAGAAUUACUGUGAUAGGUUAACAAAACUGGCCCAUUAAGGUUUGUGUUCAAAAUGAACAAAAAAAAAACAAAAUGAAAGUCUAUGUUUCUUUUUUAUUAGUGAAAAUGAUGAAGUCUAUGUUUCUUUUUUAUUGUUUGAGUCUCUUUAUGAGUUAGUGUGACCAUGGAGUCUAUAAUAUGUGUGGACAAAUAAUGUGUGUCUCUGUUUCUUUUUUAUUGUUUGAGUCAUGUGUUGAGUCAUGUUUAUGGGUUAUUAUGCAUGGGUGUCAUGUAAGCAUAUGUGAUUAGUUAUAAAUAUAAUGUUAAAUAUUGUGUGUAAACUUGUCUGGUAAGCCUAAGAGUUCACUGAGAUAUUUCAAAUUUCUUGUGUUCUGUUCUUAUCGUUUUACUGCAUCAAAUUCUACACAUAAUUGUUCAUUCAUUUUGUUCUUGCUUUUAAAAGCUCAAUAUUUGUUAAUUAACUUUAAAUCAUUUCUUUGAUUACUAAGAAAGAUGAAUAAUCAUUUGAUUUGUGGUAAUUUCUGAAGAUUAGCCCAUCAAAUAGACAUUUUCUAGAUUUGCCUUCACUGAAAUUUCUUUACCUUAGAACAGGACUUACUUGGAAAUUUCUUUAACUCAGUGUAAAAUGUUUUGAAAAUCUCAGUGUAAAUUGUUUUGUUAAAUUGACAUUAAUUAUGAAUGAGUUUGGUUGUGUAAUAUAAGUCUAAGAGUUCAUUUACUAAAUAUUUUUAAUUUAACAUAACCUUUUUUUAUAUGUAUUUAAGUCAUUAGUCAAAAUAGCUUAUCUGGUAAUGCAUAUUCAAAUCAAAAAAGUAAAACACCUCAUGUUUGUGAUUUUCUGUAUUUAUAAAGCAAUAAUUUUUAAAACACAAUUCACUUGACUCUACAUUUUUAAUUUAACAUAGUUUUUUUAUAUAUUUACAAAACUGCCAUUAAUGAAAAUAGUUAUUUCACUGUGUUUUUUUUGGAAUGCAUAUUCAAAUAAAAAAAGUAAAACACCUAAAUAGUGUUUGUGAUUUUCUAUAUUUUAAAAAGGAAACAGAGCAAUAAUUUUUAAAACAACAAUUCACUAACUCUACAUUUUUAAUUUAACAUAGUUUUUUAUAUAUAUUAUGAAACUGCCAUUAAUGAAAACAGUUAGUUUAAUUGAAUAUAUAUUUAAUUAAUUUAUAGUAAAAAUAGUGAUUAAUUAUAAUUUUAAAUAUUAUUUAAAUUAAUAAUUUAUUUAAUUGAAUUAAUUAUAAUUUUGUAAGUGAUUAAUUAGAAAUAGAAAAAAUUGGGUGUCUGUAGUUUUUAUUUAUCAAAAUAAUAUUACUCACUCUUUUCGAUUAUUAAUUAGUAUUAUCAUAUUAUAUUUUAAAUUAUUUGAUGUUAAUUAACUUUUCAAGAGAACAACAUUUAAUGUAGGUAAGAUAGUCUAACACCAAUGUAUAUUUUUUACUAUUUGAUCAAUAAAUUUUAUUAUAUUUCAUUUCAUCUUAAAUAACAUGUAACUUAGAGUUAACAUUUUCUUGCUGAAAACUAAGGAAAAUCACUAAUAUGAGUUACAAAAGUAAAGUGGACAAAAAAUGAAACGAAAAAAAAAAUAAAAAAUUAAAUGGUCACUAAUAUGAGUUACAUUUUGUUGCUGAAAUAAGUCACACUGGUCUCUCUACCUUCCUUCACGCGGAAAUGACCCGUAUCAUCAUUACCAGUACCAUAUAUUUAAUCAUUACCGUAUCAUUACCCGUAGCAUAUAUUUAAUCAUUUCCCGUAUCAUCAUUUUUAUUCUUAUCUAGAAAUGACCUAAUAACCCCGUAUAUACUUUGAGAUUUUUAGUUUCAUAAUUUAGGGGAUUUGUCUCCUUCAUAAUUUACUAAUUUCAAUUUUUAAUGGAAAAAUCAAUUAUUUUUCCAUUAAAAAUAAUUGACAUUAAUUAUAUUUAUAUUAAAUUGACAUUAAUUAUGAAUGAGUUUGGUUGUGUAAUAUAAGUCUAAGAGUUCAUUUACUAAAUAUUUUUAAUUUAACAUAACCUUUUUUUAUAUGUAUUUAUGUCAUUAGUCAAAAUAGCUUCUCUGGGAAUGCAUAUUCAAAUCAAAAAAGUAAAACACCUCAUGUUUGUGAUUUUCUGUAUUUAUAAAUCAAUAAUUUUUAAAACACAAUUCACUUGACUCUACAUUUUUAAUUUAACAUAGUUUUUUUUAUAUAUUUACAAAACUGCCAUUAAUGAAAAUAGUUAUUUCACUGUGUUUUUUUUGGAAUGCAUAUUCAAAUAAAAAAAAGUAAAACACCUAAAUAGUGUUUGUGAUUUUCUAUAUUUUAAAAAGGAAACAGAGCAAUAAUUUUUAAAACAACAAUUCACUAACUCUACAUUUUUAAUUUAACAUAGUUUUUUUUUAUGUAUUUACAAAACUACCAUUAAUGAAAACAGUUACGUGUGUGUGUGUUUUUUUUUUUUUUUUUCGGAAUACAUGUUCAAAUCAAAAAAGUAACACACCUAGAUAGUGUUUGUAAUUUUCUGUAUUUGAAAAAAGAAAUAGAGUAAUAAUUUUUAAAACAAAUUCACUGACUCUACAUUUUUAAUUUAACAUAGCUUUUUUAUAUAUAUUAUGAAACUAUCAUUAAUGAAAACAGUUAGUUUAGUUGAAUAUAUAUUUAAUUAAUUUAUAGUAAAAAUAGUGAUUAAUUAUAAUUUUAAAUAUUAUUUAAAUUAAUAAUUUAUUUAGUUGAAUUAAUUAUAAUUUUGUACAUGAUUAAUUAGAAAUAGAAAAAAUUGGGUGUCUGUAGUUUUUAUUUAUCAAAAUAAUAUUACUCACUCUUUUCGAUUAUUAAUUAGUAUUAUCAUAUUAUAUUUUACAUUGUUUGAUGUUAAUUAACUUAUACAAAAGUUGUUGAAUAUAAAUAAAAUAUACACAUAAGAUAUGCAUGAUAACUCAUUAUGCAUGAUAUAAGGAGUUGUUGAGUAUAUGUAAAAUAUGAGUGAAGAUGCAUAAAUUAUGUGUGAGUAUUUAAAAAAAAUGUAUGAUACAUGCAAUGAAGAUAAAUUCCUUUUUAUUUAUUUUAUUAUUUUUUAGUUUCCCCGAUCCUUAUGUGACUUUAUACACUUAUAAGAUUCAAUGGAUCAACGACGAUAACAAUCGUUCUUUACAUGAUGACUCUAGUAUAUCUUGUGUAAUCACUUUUUCUUGAGGUCAAUCAAAUGUGCAUUAUUUAAAAUGCUUACCCUUCAUUUUUUAUACAUCCAAUAUCUUGCGUUCCCGUGUAUAUAUUUUCAAGCGUCAAAAUAUUUAAGAUAUUUUUUUUAUUUCAUAUAUUUCAAAUUCCCAUAUUUAUUAUCAUAAAAUAACAUUUUUUUUUUAAAAAAAAAAACGUUAGAACAAACAACAAUGAGACUAAAUUUGUUUAGAAAGAGGGUAAGGCACAACAUCGAACAAUGAUAUUGGAAAAUGUACAUUCAUUGCAAAUGAGACAUGAGUUACAAUGUGGGGAGCGUGUUUAGCUUUAGUUGGAGAGACAACAAACGCUAGUCAUUCUUGUAAUUUAGAACUUCUAAGAAUAAUAACUGCCCCAACUUGAAAUGCUUGAUUCUUUUGUUAUCCCAUGAUUUCUCUUAUAAAGCACAUCACCAUUCAAGAAGAAAUUCAUUGACAAUCUCCUUAAAACCCUUUUGUCGUUCUCUGAAAUACCCAAUGGAUAUUCCUUAUUCUUAACAUAUGAUUUGAUGUCAUAAAACCACGGCUUGCCAUCCAACUCUUCUUCUAUUGAUAAGCAAUAUGCAGGUUUAUCUCUUUGUUGAAUCUUUAUGACCGGCACGUCUUGAUUAGUGGUUAUUUUGAACAUUGACGACAAAGUGGCCAAGGCGUCAGCUAACUGGUUUUCUUCUCGAGGGAUAUGGUGAAAAGUAAUCUUCUCAAAUUGUUCUGUCAAUUCUUUGAUAUGGGUGUGAUACGGAAUCAAUUUAGAAUCUCGCGUUUCCCAAUCUCCUUUCGUCUGAUGGAUGACCAACAAUGAGUCUCCAUAUACCUCAAGAAAUUUUACAUUUGAUUCAAUAGCCGCUUUAAUGCCCAUAACACAUGCUUCAUAUUCAGCAAUAUUGUUUGUACAAUCAAAACACAACCUAGCCGUAAAUGGAGUGAACUGGUUUUCUGGAGAAAUCAAAAUGGCUCCAAUUCCAUGCCCUAACGCAUUAGAAGCACCAUCAAACACCAACCUCCACUUUUCUUUAUCAGAUGAUUCAAUCUCUUCAACUAAAUUCAUUAUGUCUUCAUCGGGGAAUUCACACUGCAUUGAUUGAUAAUCUUCUACCGGUUGAUGGGCUAAGUACUCUGCUAGUGCGCUUCCUUUGAUGGAUUUUUGUGUAACAUAUACCAAAUCGUAUUCUGAUAACAACAUCUGCCAACGGGCGAUCCUUCCAGUAAGAGCAGGUUUCUCAAAGAUGUACUUAAUUGGGUCCAUUUUAGACACCAACCAAGUUGUAUGACAUAACAUGUAUUGUCUCAACCGACGAGCAGCCCAUGCCAAUGCGCAACAUGUUCGUUCAAGUAGUGAAUAUCUUGUUUCACAACUGGUGAACUUUUUGCUCAAAUAAUAAAUAGCAUGUUCUUUCCUACCAGAUUCAUCAUGCUGCCCCAGUACGCAGCCCAUUGACUCGUCAAGUACUGUUAAGUACAUAAUAAGUGGUUUCCCAGGAACAGGGGGCACUAGGAUGGGAGGUUUUGAUAAGUACUGCUUAAUCUUUUCGAAAGCUUUUUGACAAUUCUCAUUCCAUUCAACCUUUUGGUCUUUGCGCAACAAUUUGAAAAUCGGCUCGCAUGUAGCGGUGAGGUGCGAUAUAAACCUUGCAAUGUAAUUCAAUCUACCCAAAAAGCCACGAACUUCUUUUUCAGUGCGUGGAGCCGGCAUUUCUUGUAUUGCUCUUACUUUAUCUGGGUCCACCUCUAUCCCUUUUUGACUAACGAUAAACCCAAGUAAUUUGCCUGAUCUUACACCAAAUGUGCAUUUAGCAGGGUUUAAACGAAGUUUGAACUUCCUUAGUCGCUCAAAUAACUUUUGAAGGUUAACAACAUGGUCUUCUUCAGUUCGAGAUUUUGCGAUCAUAUCAUCCACGUAAACCUCUAUUUCCUUAUGCAUCAUGUCAUGAAACAAGGUUACCAUUGCUCUUUGAUAGGUUGCCCCGGCAUUCUUCAAUCCAAAUGGCAUCACUUUAUAGCAGAAAGUCCCCCAUUGUGUGAUGAACGUAGUUUUUUCCAUAUCUUCGGGAGCCAUCUUGAUUUGAUUGUACCCUGAGAAACCAUCCAUGAAGGAGAAAAGAGAGUAUUGAGCAGUGCUAUCCACUAGGACAUCAAUAUGAGGUAGAGGAAAAUCAUCUUUAGGACUAGCUUUAUUUAAAUCCCGAUAAUCAACGCACAUUCGAACCUUUCCAUCUUUCUUUGGAACUGGUACAAUAUUAGCCACCCAUUGAGGAUAUUUUGCUACUGCUAAGAAACCAGCAUCAAAUUGCUUCUUGACCUCUUCUCUAAUUUUAAGCGACAUAUCAGGUCUCAUCCUUCUCAACUUCUGUUUAAUUGGAGUGUAUUCAGGUUUUAGUGGUAGCUUGUGUUCAACUAUGUUAGUAUCUAACCCGGGCAUAUCCUGAUAUGACCAUGCAAAGACAUCCACAUAAUCAAUUAAAAGUUUAACCAACUUUUCUCGCUCACUUUCUUUCAUAGACAUACCAACUUUAACUUCUUUUUUAUCAUGCCCAGUCCCUAAAUUGAUCGCCUCAACAGGUUCUUGAUAGGGUUGGAUUAUCUUAGCUUCCCGUUCAAUUAAGCUUUCUAGUUCUGGGGGAAGCUCACAAUCGUCUUCACAAUCCUCAUCGGCAUGAUUAAUCAGACGUUCAAAGUUACAAGAAAUGGUUCUAGCGCUGUUAUUUUCAACAUAUUCAUUUUCGACUCUGCAUUGUUUAAAAGAAAAAAAGAAAAAAAUAUAUAUAUGAAUAAAGAUUGCCAAAAGAAAGAGAAAAGAGAGAAAAAAAACAAAACAAAACAAAACCAGUUGGAGAAUUCAAAAAUGCAUUUAUUGAUAAUAAGUACGGAAUUGAAAUACAUAUGCCCUAAUUAGUUAUCCUUAUAGCCUUGGGCAGAGCAAAAGGAGUUAAAAAUACAUAAUUACUUUGAACAUGAAUUAACAAACACGGGAAACUCGAUGAUCUUCCAAUUGUUGAGAUUGGUGUUUGGAGGACAAGGGUACACUAGCUUGAGGGUAUCAUCAUCACCAUGAUCCUCUUCCGCAACAGCCACCUGAUCAGCAUAUAUUAUUCCGGCGCUUUGAAAAUUUUGACGAAUGUCACAAAUAGGAAUCUUCUGUGAAUUCGGUAUCCAGUUUUCUCGACGAGUCACCUUGUUUUCUCUUUUUUCCUUCGCAGCCUUUUCUUCAUCAGCUUGAGUAGGUACAUAUCCCAACCCGUACCUAUUGUUCUUUUCUGGUAUUUCUAUCAACUUCCCCAAAUUGAGAAAAACUCCUCCUUCUAACAUGGAUUUGGUAGACUUCAAUGAUAUGGUAGAUUGUUUUGGUUCUUUUAAACGAUAUCCUUCACCCAUGAAGACAACAUUGGCAAUUUCUAAUGCUUGAAAGAAAGUCUCUAUGGCUUCCUCCGUGUCUUCAAUGUAGCCUGUAGAAGAUAAAUGACUUACUAUCAUAUCUUCUUCCCCAUAUAUUAUUACCAGCUUAUUGUUCACUGUAAACUUUAGCUUUUGAUGGAGAGUGGAUGUCACUGCUCCAGCAGCAUGAAUCCAUGGUCUCCCUAAAAGACAACUGUACGCCGGUUUAAUAUCCAUUACUUGGAAGGUUAUCCCAAAGAUGUGGGGUCCGAUUUGAAUUGGCAGGUCAAUCUCACCAAUCACUUGUCUUCUAGAUCCAUCAAACGCUUUCACCACCAAAGCACUAGGCUUCAAACAGGCUCCCUCAACAAAUAGCUUUGACAGUGUUGAUUUAGGCAUGACAUUUAAUGAUGAACCAUUAUCUACUAGCACUCGUGCAAGAAUGUGAUCGUGACACCUCAUAGAGAUGUGCAGUGCCUUAUUAUGCUCUGUCCCUUCAGCUGGUAAUUCAUUAUCACUAAAACUCAGGCAACUACUAGCAGUGAUGUUACCGACAACUCCAUCAAACUGAUCGACAGUGAUAUCGUGAGUAACAUGGGCUUCGUUUAGAACUUUCAUCAGUGCCCUUCUAUGUGCUUCAGAAUUCAAUAACAAGGAGAGAACUGAUAUCUUGGAAGGGGUCUGAUUUAGCUGAUCCACCACCUUAUAUUCACUUUGCUUGACAAACUUCAAAAAUUCACUAGCUUCUUCUUCAGACACCGUCUUUUUACUGAUCUCUUGUCCUUUUAUGGUAUGAUACAUAUCUUCUUUUCCUUUUUCUCCAUUAACCUCUUUUUUCCUAAGUUGCUCAGGAGUGUAUACUCGACCACUCCGAGUCAUUCCACCAAUCCCUGAGAUGUUAGUGACCUCAGUUCCUUUAGGUUCACAAUCAUCACUUGGUUGAUGAUCUGCCAAGUGGGAUGUGACUUCGUAUUUCCACGGUACUGCCUUGGUAUUUCCAUAAGGAAACGGGAUUGGUGUUUGGACAAUUAUUGCAUUUGGCUUGUUAUGAGUUGACUUAAGAUUCUCUUUUUUGUAAAGAAUUUCCAAUGGUUUUGGGAAAGAUAUAUUAUUUUCCACACACGACCCCAUGGUGAACACAUGACCAUCUACUGCAUGUUGGUCUAUCCCAUCUUCAAUGAAAUUCACAGAGGCGUUCCCGUGACCUGGCAAAGGAUUGCUCCCUAUGUUGGGAUUGUCCUCCUUGAAGGUAAGCCAUUUUGCAUUAAUCAAUUCUUGCACUUUAGAUUUUAGGGCUUGACAAUCUUCAAUGGAAUGCCCAACGGCUCCUGCAUGAUAUUCACAUUUGGCAUUUGGAUUAUACCAUUUUGGAAAUGGUGGUUCAAGAGGUUUCAUUGGUCUUAUGACUACCAUUGAAUUUUGAAGUAAAUGGGGCAACAAUUGGCUAUACGUGACGGGAAUUGGAUCAAAACGAGUUAUCCUUUUUUCUCGAUUGACAGGUGGUCUGUAGUGAUUUGAGCUUGGGUAUUGAUUUUGUGGGGAAAAUGCGGUAGGUGGUGGUUGAUAAAAAGGUGGUCUUGAAGGGGGAUAUUGGGGGAAUGAAGCUUGUGUGGUUGCGGCCACAUAUGGAUAAGGGGUGUAAGGAUUUUGUGGUAUCGGGGGCUGGAAAAUUGGGGGUCGAUAAGAAUUGAUGGGUGGAAAAUAAGAGAUUCUGGGGUUUACCAUUACAGCGUUAGUGUCUCCUUCUUUCUUUUUUGUGAAUGUCGUCUGGGGUCGUUUCACGCUAGUUGCUGCACAUACGAUCUUGCCACUCCUCAUCCCACUUUCUAUCCUUUCUCCUAUCAUGACAAGGUCAGAAAAGUUUGAUGACAUACUCCCAAUCAUCUUGUCAUAAAAAGGCGACUGGAGAGUAUCCAUAAACAUACCAACCAUUUCUCUUUCAGAUAAUGAGGGUUCUACUUGUGAGGCCAUUUCCCUCCACCGUUGUGCGUAUUCUUUGAAAGCUUCGUUGUCCUUUUUCAGUGAAUUUUGCAAUUGCAUCCUAUCAGGGGCCAUGUCAACGUUGUACCUGUAUUGCUUCAAAAAGGCAUCAGCUAGGUCCUUCCAUGAACGAAUUUGAUUUCGCUCAAGAUGCAUAUACCAACUUAACGAUGCCCCACUCAAACUGUCUUGGAAGAAGUGAAUGAGAAGUUUAUCGUUAUGAGCAUGAGAUGCCAUUUUUCUGCAAUACAUAGUUAGAUGAUUUUUAGGACAUGUGUUGCCCUUGUAUUUUUCAAAGUCAGGAACCUUGAAUUUGGCAGGGAUAGUCACAUCAGGAACCAAACACAUAUCGAAAGCUUCAAGGCCAUAAACAUUAUACCCCUCAAUAGCUUUUAUUCGCUCUUCCAAGACAUGGAAUUUUUCCUUUGAUUGUGUAUCAUCCCCAAUGUGAGGUUGAUGCCAAUUUCCAUUAGUAUCGAAAUGGGGUACUUGGGGUGCAAUAUAUGGAAUAUUUUCUGAGGGUUGAGUGUUUUGGGGGUUUAAGUGGUUUGGGUUGUUUUCCAUGGGGUUGACGACUAAGGGUGGAGUAUAACCGGGUGGAAGACCGUACAUAGGAAAUUGUAUAGUUGUUGUACGAGGUUGCUGGGUAGUCGGGGUAAAGCCUGGUGGGUGAGAAGGAGUGGUUUGGUGUUCUUCAUUUGCAACCAGAGGAUUCUCAUCAGUAUUCCCCUUCCUUGACAAAGCUUGUAUAGCUUCUAAGAUUUGAUCAACCUUGUCCUUCAAUUGGUUGACAUCCAUUCUCAUCACCUCUUGAUUUUGCUCAAGUUCUUCCAUGAUCUUCGAGUUUGCACGAGUCCGAUAAGGGUGUCGGGGAAACAACUUUAUUGAUUUUUUCUGUGUUUUUUUAAAUAAAAAAUAAAAAAAAAUUAUUAUGAGUAUGCAUUAAACAUGAAUGGAAUGAAAAUGCAAUUAUUUUUUUAUUUUUUUUUUAUGUUGGGGAAUCAUAAGUCUUGCACGAAUUAUUAAUGAAAGAAGAAUAUGAGAAUCGAUAAACAAAAUAGCAAAUCCUUCAUUGAUGAGAAAAAAGUACAUUGCAUUUAAAUUAAAAAGCUACAUCGACUAUUGUAUUUCAAUCAUCUUUUUCAAGAGGACAACCAAUCUUCUCCUCCAAUUCUUCUACUAAAUGUUUGCAAUAUUCGACGAACUUGUAGACUUUGAUUGGAGUGUUGAGUGGAUGCAUUACUGCAUCAACCUCUCUUAGAUGUUUUGGAAUUUUUAUGAUUGCCUGAUUAGCUAGAAUUGCCAAUUUCGAAAAGCAAUCUUUCCAAUGCUUGCCUUUAUCUUCCAAUUCUUUAUAAAUCUCUUGGUUCUUCAAUUGCCCAAGCAACACCAUGAAACGCUCCUCCCAGUAUAUGGUUUCAUCCUUCAAGUCAUUGUAGAUCUUUUCUUGAUAAUCAAUGUAAUUCUUCAACUCACUAGAAGCUUCCAUUUCUGCUUUUAGUGCAUCUUGGUGUUUUGAGAGUAAUUCUUCGAUUUCUUUCUUUUGUUGCCUCUCAUUCCUUGCUUGAUUCUCAUAUUGAUCUACCAUUUCUUUCAGUUGUUUCUUUAAAUCUUCAAAUUCCUUUUUUAUGUUCUUCUCAGAGCUUGCUGAUUUUGUCCACAAUUGCUUCCACAUAUAGGCUUCUUCAAUAGCUGCAUUCCUUUCUUGCCUUCGCACAUCUAACUCUUCAUUUGCGCCUCUUAAACAAUCUUGUAUGUCAAGUUUAUUUCCUUUUUCAACUUUCAGCCUCUUGUUGUUUCUCUCGAUAAACUGACUCUUACAAGUGUUUUCUGAUCUUAAGUUGUCGUUCUCUUGAGAGACUUUUUCUAAUCUCGCUUGUAGCUCUUUUUUCUCUUCUUCAGAUUUUAGCAAUGAUGCUUUGAGUUCUUCUAUCUCUUCAUUUGCAACAAGGAUAGGUUCAGGCAUUUCCUGACUAUUUGAGGCUGUAUUGUGGAAAGGCAGCUUGAUUUCUUGGACUCUUUUCUUUACCCAUUGUUGAUAGGGUUCUUUUGUGCUGCAACUUCUACAUCCGAGUAUUUUUCCUUUUCUGAUGAUCAACUCCCAAGCUCGACUUACCCUUCUCAACAUUGGUGGGUCUACUAUACCCGUAUUGUGCAAAACAAAAGCCUCCAAUGACUUAUCAUCUGGUUUAUCCAACAUGGGGUAGCCGAGUUGUCUCAGAGCUAUCAUUGGAUUGUAAUUAAUACAUCCUUUCGUUCCCAUGAGAGGUACAUUUGGAAAAUCUCCGCAUCGGCAUAUUACCUCUUCCACCCCUUGUUCUCUAUAGUACCAUGAAAUUUUAUCUCCAGUAAGGCUAGCUAUACUCUGAGCCCAAUCACGAUUGCUCUUGACCCCAACAUGAUACCCUUUCUUGAACAUGUGAGACACAAACCAAGUAUACAGCACUGGAACACAACAUAAAAUUGUUCCCCCUUUCUUCUCGUGUCGCAUAUGCAUAGAGUAGUAUACAUCAGCAAGAACCGCAGGAACUGGGUUUUGUUUAUGUUUGUUAAAAGCUAAGAAUACAUUUAUGGCAGCAAAAUCUACAAAGUUAUCAAGGUUUGGAAAUAUAACAAUACCGUAGAUAAUGAGGGCCAAAACAUCUAUAAAAGUACUCCAUUCUUUUUUAUCAGCUAAAUCUUGGCACUUUUGCUCUAGAUAUUUUCUUGAAAACCCAUGAAUAGCCCCUUUUUCCUCUUUUGUACUUGCCAACUCUCUUAUGUCGAUCUUCAACACUUCAGCAAUUGUGUCCAACUUCGGUGGUUGCCCAGUAUAUCGAUAAGGAUUUCCUCUUUCUAGGGAGUAACCCAGUAUUCGCUCAAAUUCCUCUAAUGUCGGGGCCAACUGAAAGUCUUGGAAAGUGAAACAUCUUAAGAGAGGAUCGUAAUACUGAGCCAAUGCUGUGAGGGCCCCUGUUUGCACAUUCACUGCCAAGAGAUUUAGAAUUUUCCCAUAUUUGUGAACGAAACUCUCACGUUGUAUAGUUUUCAUCUGACUGCUGAUGUCUUUUAAACUCUUCAAAUCAGGUUGCUUGAACUUUAAAAGUAAAGUUUUUCUUUUUUCUGAUCCCAUUGUCCACUUAAAUAACACGUGACUACAGUUUGUAUGAUUCCCCAAAAAUCCUGAAAAUUUAUGCAAAAUGCUAUUAUGUUUUAUUUUUCCUUAGAAAGAGAGAAAAAAAAAAUGUCAUGACAUAUGAAUGAAACUAAUAUAUAUUUAUAAUGUCUUGAAUAUAUGAGAUAAUUUUUUUGGUUUUAAUAGAUAUUCUUUCAAUGAAAGGAUCUAUUGGCUUAUGUAGUGAAACUCUCACAAGGGAGGCUCUAUGGUUCUAAACACGGUUCCUAGAGCCAAUAAUCCUAUUUUAGAAUAUUGUCAACAACAAUAGGUAAACUAUUUGAAGUGACAAUAACCUCAAUAGGAUCAAACUCUAGGUGAGAUCUUCAUGCUAACCAAACAGGAUGUACAUCCAGAAGGCUACCACUACGCGAUCUCGAAACUAAACUUAAGUUUUGUUCAAACCCGGGUAUAAGGUUCCACUCAUAAGUGUGUGUUUUUAGUAAAAGUGUAUGUGCUAAAUAAGCAUAAUUCAAUAACUCCAUAAUAUUAACAAAAUAUAUAUACAUAUACUAAAUAAAUAAAUAACAUAAAAUAAAAAAUAAUCUACUAGCCUAAAAGAAUAUUAUAAUGUCAACUAAUACUUAUUAAGAAAUAAAAACACAUAAAUAAAAUGAAAAUGAAAAACAAACAAAUAUAGAAAAAAGUUAAAAAAUUAUGCACAAUUAAUUUUUAGGCUUGACUCUCGAAAUAUCCCCAGUGGAGUCGCCAGCUGUCGCGGCCUAAAGUUUCGAGUUUUCAUCGAAUUCAAUGGAGUCGCCACCAAAAUUUAUUUUAAAAUAGGGAAAAUAUUGGGAAACCCUUAAAAAUGUAAAAAUGGUCUUUGAAACCAGAUUUUGAGUUCGGGAGUCGAUUAUGCGUAGGGAAGGUAUUAGCACCCUACGACAUCCGUUAAAAUACGGUUACCUUUAAUUAAUUGUGCAAAAUUAUAUCAACUUAAAUAUAUUUAUUUUUCUUUAUUAUUAAAUAUGAAUAUAAAUUGUUUUUUAUAAAUGUGAUUUUUUGAGAUAAAAGUGUGUUAAAAAAGAAUGGAAAAAAAGAAAGUUUUUAUUAGUGUGCUUGACAAGAGUGUGAUCUUGCUCCUACGUAUCUCCCGGUGCGAUGGAGAAAUCAAAGCUACGUAGUUCUUGGUAAAAAAAUGUGAAUGCGUUGAUUGCUUUUAAAUAAAUUGUAUUUUGUUACUUAAAAAAAACAAUUUUGACGAACAUAAAAAAACUUGUUUGAUUUGAAUAAUUAUCUUAAAAUAUGAAUUUUAAGACGAUCGAAUUGUACAACUCGUGUCUCAAAAUCCAAGGAGUAAAAAGAUGUCACAUCUAAUUUAAUCCUCUUAAGAAUAUUUUAUUUUUUAUUUUUAAAUUGAAUUUCAAAACAAACAAAUAGUUUAAUUUGUAUCUUAACAACUUCAAAAAUAAUAGUAAUAAUAGUAAUAAUAAUAAUAAUUAAAUAAAUUUUUUUUUAAAAGGAUAAGUUUUAGAGUUAUCAAAAUAUAUAAUUUGUAUUAUGUAACUCCGAGAUUAAAAGAUUUUAAUUAACUUUAAAUAAUUUUUAUGAUUUAUUUGUUUAUGAAUUUUUAGUUUAUUAAAUCAUUUGUGAUUAUGAGAUUUAGAACCAUCAAAUUGUCACAAUUUGUGUUCUAAUAACUCAAAGAUUAAAAAGAUGUCACAUCUAAUUAACCUUACAAUAUUCGAUUAUAGUUUUAUCUUUACCCUUUUAAAAUAAUAAUAAUAAUAAUAAUUGAUGUUAAAAAUUAAAUAAAUUUAAAUAAUUCUACGAAAUAAGCUCAAUAAUAAACACACCUAAAAAUAAAAUAAACGGUAAAAAAAAAAUAUAGACUUGUAUUGUUAUUUAUUAAAUAAAUAAAAAAUAAAAAUACCAGAUUAAUAAAAUAAAAACUAUAUACAAAUUGUGAACUCUUUCAAAUACUUUUUAGUGAAUCAAAUGAUGAAAGCAUAACUCAUUUAAUAUUAAAUAGCAUAUUAAUAUCAUUUAAUAUUUGUUUGUUUUUUUAAUUUUAAUUUUAUAACUUUUUUUUAGAAAAAAAUAAAAUUGAUACUACAUAUUAAAUAAGUUUAAACGAUUUUUUUGAAAUAAAAUAGUGAAAAGAAAAAUAUAUAGACUUGUAACUUAAUCUAUUAAAUAAAUAAAAAAAGAUUUUAAUACUAAUUAUAAAUGUAACCCUCUUUUAAACUAUUUUUUCUAAAAUUUAAUAAAUGAAGAAAUAAAAUUCAUUUUUAAAACUAAAUAGCAUAAACCAAAAAAAACUACUAUAACUUAAAAUAAAUGAUAUUUAUCACCUUUUAAUUAUGUCCAUCAUUAAAAUAGAAUUAUUAUAAUUAAAAGAAAUAAAUACUGAAAAUAGAGAAACUAAAAAAAGGUUCAUCCACCACACAAAUAUAUUAUUAAAUCAAUCCAUAUCCAUAGUCACUAGAAUGGGAUGGAAUACAACUAACAAACAGGAUUCAAAAUACAAUAGCAGAAACACAUUUAGUACAAAACUAAUCCAAUUAGACGUCAAAAAUCUCAACCAAAACUCUAAUCAUACACAUCAAAAACAAAAAAUUCAAUUUUUCAAUAAUAUACAACAGCAAACCUAUGAAUGAGGAAAAUACCCUUUUUCCGUGGCGUGGUGGUGGGUUGAUUCUCGUCCGCUGUCGCUUGUUGUUAAUGAUCGAGUAUGUUUAAGGUUAAGGUUAUGGGUUGAUGGGAAGAAGUAUGAUAACAGAUUCUUCUUCUUUGAUAUUGCUCUAUUUCUAUUGUAUUUUGGAAACCAGAAUCAGAAAGAAAGGAAAAUCCCCAAUUUUAUCGUCUGAUUUCUUUCUUCCCCUUAUUGAAUUUUUGUUUCAAUAUAUAGACAAAAAAGAGGAAGGGUUGUAUCCAUUGUAUAAAUUAAUUUCUGGAUUUUAAACUGGUUUGGCAACUACAUCAAACAAUCAAACUGGUACAAUUUAAGGGGAGUAGUCUGGAUUUUACACUGGGUUGUUGUUCUGGAUUUUACAUUGGUUUGGGGUGUUAUUCUGGAUUUUACUGCUUUUACAACAUGAUCAAGCAACUCCAUGUGGAGACGCAACCUCAUAUGGAGACGGCACUUUACACGUCAAAGCAAGAAACAACACACGCAAAAUAGGGACUCUUUUGUUUUAAGUUUCUUUAUUUUAUUAUUUGGUUGGUUUUAUUUAUUUAUUUAUAUUAAAAUAUAAUAUAAAUCUACUACAAUUUUUUUUCUAAUUUUUAGACAAACACACCUAAAUAGUGUUUGUGAUUUUCUAUAUUUUAAAAAGGAAACAGAGCAAUAAUUUUUAAAACAAGAAUUCACUAACUCUACAUUUUUAAUUUAACAUAGUUUUUUUUAUGUAUUUACAAAACUGCCAUUAAUGAAAAUAGUUACUUCUGUUUUUUUUUUUUCUUUUCGGAAUGCAUGUUCAAAUCAAAAAAAUAACUCACCUAGAUAGUGUUUGUAAUUUUCUCAAAUCAAAAAAGUAACUGUAUUUGAUAGUGUUUGUAAUUUUCUAAAGGUAUACAUUAGAUAGUGUUUGUAAUUUUCUGUAUUUGAAAAAAGAAAUAGAGCAAUAAUUUUUAAAACAAAUUCACUGACUCUACAUUUUUAAUUUAACAUAGUUUUUUUUAUAUAUAUUAUGAAACUGUCAUUAAUGAAAACAGUUAGUUUAGUUGAAUAUAUAUUUAAUUAAUUUAUAGUAAAAAUAGUGAUUAAUUAUAAUUUUAAAUAUUAUUUAAAUUAAUAAUUUAUUUAAUUGAAUUAAUUAUAAUUUUGUAAGUGAUUAAUUAGAAAUAGAAAAAAUUGGGUGUCUGUAGUUUUUAUUUAUCAAAAUAAUAUUACUCACUCUUUUCGAUUAUUAAUUAGUAUUAUCAUAUUAUAUUUUACAUUGUUUGAUGUUAAUUAACUUAUAUUAUAUUUUAAUUUGAGAGAAUUGGUAUCUUUAAAAAUAUAAAGAAAUGGUUUGUCAUAAACCCUUAAGCCAACAUCAAACCUUUAAUAUAAAUCAGGGAUAGAUAGGUUUUGACAAUAAGUGGAUAGUAAAUUAAUUUGUGAAGGUGUAAUGUUUUUGGAGCAAAUACAGCUACUUAGAAAUCUUAAUAACGAGACUCAUAACGGUAAGGGUCUCACCUCAUUCGCUUUCCUACUUGAAUUAUAUGUGAUAUAAAUGAACAGCGAUAUUAUGUAUUGGUUAUGUUUGUGUUUUAUCUUCAAAAUAAAUGUUAUAUGAUACGCUGUUAUAAUGGUUGCGUUUGACAUGUUCAAAUUGUGAAAAAUAAACGUUAUAUGACAUGUUGUUAUAAUGGUUGUGCUUGACAUGUUGUGGUUAUUUGAGGUGAUGACUUUGUGUCUAAACCAAUUUGGUUUUGGACAUUACAUAGCUUUUUUAUAUAUAUUAUGAAACUAUCAUUAAUGAAAACAGUUAGUUUAGUUGAAUAUAUAUUUAAUUAAUUUAUAGUAAAAAUAGUGAUUAAUUAUAAUUUUAAAUAUUAUUUAAAUUAAUAAUUUAUUUAGUUGAAUUAAUUAUAAUUUUGUACAUGAUUAAUUAGAAAUAGAAAAAAUUGGGUGUCUGUAGUUUUUAUUUAUCAAAAUAAUAUUACUCACUCUUUCCGAUUAUUAAUUAGUAUUAUCAUAUUAUAUUUUAAAUUGUUUGAUGUUAAUUAACUUAUAUUAUAUUUUAUAUUGUUUGAUGUUAAUUAACUUUUCAAGAGAACAACAUUUAAUGUAGGUAAGAUAGUCAAACACCAAUGUAUAUUUUUUACUAUUUGAUCAAUAAAUUUUAUUAUAUUUCAUUUUCAUCUUAAAUAACAUGUAAGUUAGAGUUAACAUUUUCUUGCUGAAAACUAAGGAAAAUCACUAAUAUGAGUUACAAAAGUAAAGUGGACAAAAAAUGAAAUGAAAAAAAAAAUAAAAAAUUAAAUGGUCACUAAUAUGAGUUACAUUUUGUUGCUGAAAUCAAGUCACACUGGUCUCUCUACCUUCCUUCACGCGGAAAUGACCCGUAUCAUCACCCGUAUCAUCAUUACCAGUAGCAUAUAUUUAAUCAUUACCGUAUUAUUACCCGUAGCAUAUAUUUAAUCAUUUCCCGUAUCAUCAUUUUUAUUCUUAUCUAGAAAUGACCUAAUAGCCCCCGUAUAUACUUUGAGAUUUUUAGUGUUGAGAUUUUUAGUUUCAUAAUUUAGGGGAUUUGUCUCCUUUAUAAUUUACUAAUUUCAAUUUUUAAUGGAAAAAUCAAUUAUUUUAAAAAUUGAAUGGAUUUGGUUAAAAUUUUAACGAAAUAAAUUUAUUUUUUAAUAUUAUUUUUACUUAUAUUUAUAUUUUAUUUUAAAGAUAAUAAUUUUGACAACUUCAUUAAAGUGUGGUAUCAUCAUAUAUUCUUUAUGAUUAUGUGACAUUGUCAUAUUUAUAUUUUCAAAACUAUAUUAGUUAUAAAGAAACAAAAAAUAGAGAAUUCAUUCCAUUGACAAUCAACCAUAGUUAAGUUCUCUAGUAUGAUUUUUAUUUUGUAAUUAAAUUCUCAUCUAGUUUUUAUUGAGAUUAAAGAUAAUAUAUAUUAUCGGUGUAAAGUAAUUUUACAUUAACAAUCAAUUAUAAUGCGUCAAUUUAUAAAAUAUAUGUUUUUACUUUUCUUUUCAGUAUUUUUGUUGAUUGUGUUAUCAAUAUGAUUGGUUGUCAAUGUAAAAUAAAUUUACACUCGGUACAUUAUCUUUAAUCUCUUUUAUUUUUUUAAAAACUGUAUAAAAGAACUUCAUUUCAUUUUAAUUGUUUGGUUUGAGAGUACACAUACAAACAUACUAUUAGAUACUAUUAGGGUUUAGUCACCUAUAAAUCAUAUGAAACUAAUUGAUGUAAGAGUGAAUGAAGAUAUUGAAAGUUUCUUUUAUCAUUCAAUGUUUCAUAAAAACAGAAAUUAUGUCUAAAGGUAUACAUUAGACAAAAAAAUAUUGUAUUUUUGUCUGAAAAUAUAUAUUUAGAGGACAAUAAAUAUGAUUUCUUCUAAAUAUGUACUUCCGAAGUAUGUUAAGGGUGGAAAAAUAAACUUUAAAAGAUGAUUCACCAUUGACCACACAAUACUUCACCUUAGGAGCAACCUUGCUAUGUGUUUCAUAUACAAAUCUUUAAAACCAUAAAACUAAUAAAAACUAGGAUACAAUGUUGUUACUAAAACUUAAAAACAAAAAUACUAGAUCUAUAGAGACCUUAAUGUAAAAGAGAUCUGUAAAGAGAAUAUUUAGAACAUAUUUUCAGCUUAAGGAAAUACAUAAUUUAAACCCUAAAUAAAAAUACAUUUAAAAUCUUUAUAAAAAAACCCACAAAAAUAAAUGAAUUUGGUGCAUUUAUUUAGAUAGUUGACUAUUGACUAUCCUUAACAAAAGAUUGAUCAAAUCAAUGUCACAUUUGCAUUCUCAAGGCAACAAGCCUUCCUAUCUACUAAAGCAUAAUAUAUAAAAUAAUAACAAUUUUAAUGAAACCUACAACAUUCAACUCUACAUAAAAGGGGCAAGCAUAGAAGGAUUAAAUGGGAUUUUCCUUGACCAGCAAAAUAAAACAAAAUUUAUAGUCUAUAUUUGAGCACAAAUCACUUUUGGCACCAUAACAAUGCCCCAAUUUUGACUAUCUAAGAAAUGCAGAAGUUACUCUAGCGAUAACACGCCGAUCUUCGCCAAGAGCUCACAUCGAUGAGAAAGUUUGACAACUCAAUGUCGGCUUUUUACCACCUGGAGCUGUAGUAUGUUUCUUCUCCCCACUAUGAAUGUCAAUAUCCUUCAUUCCUUUCUAAAGUGCUAUUUUUUUCUCCUUUUUCGAACUUGGUCUCUAAUCCACAAUUUUGGCUACAAAAGUACAAUGAGUUUGUGAGAAUAGCUGGUAUAUAGUGUUAUAUUGCAGUGGCAGUUGAUUAUGACCUGCAAACCAAAGACAAAACUCAUGACAUGACUAGGUAGAGAGAGAGAGAGAGAAUAACAUAUUUCUCCAAUCGUCACAUUAUAAGUGUCAUUUUAGUUCAUGCGCACUUCGUAAGAAAAUAAUUAGUUGUGUUGAUUUUUAGAUUAAAAUAAUGGUGAAGACUAAAAUACACAUUAAUUAGAGUGGUUGAAAGUAGUAGUAAUAGUAGAAUAAUUAGGUGAACUAUUUAAUUAAAGAGGGUAUUAUUUCCUAAAAUGACAUAAUUUGAGACGGAGAAAUAUUCCAAACUUGACAUUUAGAAUCACACGGAGGGAAUAGCAGAAUUACCUCCAAAGUAAUUAACAUAUUAUGCAAUUAUUUUCUUCAAACGACUUGAUAGCAUAUCACUUCUUUUCUAGUCCUCGACUUGUUUCUUGACUUGCUACGACUUUCAGAGUUGUCGCGUUUAUGGAAGUUUCUAGAUUGACUUAUUGUAACAACCUGUUAAUUUAAAAAUAAAUAAUUAAUUUAUACAAAAAAAAAACAUUAUUGUAAUAUUUGGACAAAUGAAGGGCAAUGGCGUAAUUUUCAUCUAAGAAUGCCUUUUCCCUUAUUUGUAAGCACUGCAUCUAAGAAUUCAAUAGAGACCUCCUUAGUAUGUCACUAGUGUCCAAUCACCCUGUAUGAUAGAGUUUUUCUAAUAAACCUAGUCUGUUUGCCCCUUAAGGGCUUGGACAUCAUAUUAGGAAUGGAUUGGAUGUCCGACCAUUGUGUAACUUUGAUUUGCUAUGGUAGGAAAGUCAUAAUUCCUCCAGGAAUUCCCCAACCAGAGGAAACCAAAUACCGUUCGUUGACCAACAAUUCUCUACUCUUCCAAUGUUUGACCAAUGGGGUUCAAGGCGUACUAUUAUUACUAUCUUCCAACUCAGGGUCUGAAAUGGACUUGUCCAAUAUUCCUAUAGUCAGUGAGUUUGAGGAUGUAUUUCCAGAUGAUGUGACAUCAUUGCCUCCUAAAAGAGAAAUAGAGUUCUCCAUAGAUUUGGUCCCUGGAACAGGACCAAUCUCCAUUGCCCCUUACAGGAUGUCCCCAUUAGAAUUGAGUGAGUUGAAAAACCAAUUAGAGGACCUGAUAACCAAGCAAUUUAUCAGACCAAGUGUGUCUCCUUGGGGAGCCCCUAUGCUCUUGGUAAAGAAGAAGGAUGGUAGUAUGAGAUUAUGCAUAAAUUAUAGAAAAUUGAAUAAAGUGGCCAUCAAGAAUAAGUACCCUCUGCCCAGAAUUGAUGGCUUUUUAGAUCAAUUAGGAGGAGCUACUGUGUUUUCCAAAAUUGACUUGAGAUCAGGGUACCACCAAAUCAAAAUAAAAUCAAAGGAUGUACCAAAAACUGCCUUUAGAACUAGGUAUGGACACUAUGAGUUUUUGGUUAUGCCUUUUGGUGUAACCAAUGCCCCGAUUGUGUUUAUGGAUUACAUGAAUAGAAUUUUUAAGCCAUACUUGGAUAAGUUUGUGAUAAUAUUUAUAGAUGACAUACUAAUAUACUCUAAGACCCUAGAAGAACAUGCAAGUCAUCUUCAAAUAGUGUUGCACGUACUUAGGGAUAGAAAACUUUAUGCCAAACCAAGCAAAUGUGAGUUUUGGAUGUCAGAAGUAAAGUUUCUAGGUCAUGUGAUCAAUAAGAAAGGAGUGGCAGUGGAUCCCUCCAAAGUAGAGGCAGUGCUGAAAUGGGAACAUCCUAGGAAUGUGACAGAGGUUAGGAGUUUCUUAGGACUGGCGGGAUAUUAUAGGAGAUUCAUUAGGAAAUUCUCCCAAAUUGCCCUGCCGUUGACCAGACUGACUAGGAAGGACCAACCCUUUGUGUGGGAUCAAAAAUGUGAAAAGAGUUUUCAGAAUCUUAAGACCAAGUUAACAACUGCCCCUGUGCUAGCCAUACCAGAUCCAACCUUAAGAUUUGAGGUGUAUUGUGAUGCAUCCCUGAAAGGUUUAGGUUGUGUAUUGAUGCAAAACAACCAAGCAGUGGCUUAUGCUUCAAGACAACUAAAACCUCAUGAGGGAAACUAUCCCACUCAUGACCUAGAAUUGGCCGCCAUAGUGUUUGCCUUGAAGAUUUGGAGACAUCAUUUGUAUGGAGCAUAAUUUGAUAUUUUCAGUGAUCACAAGAGCCUAAAGUAUCUCUUUGACCAAAGGGAACUUAACAUGAGGCAAAGAAGGUGGGUGGAGUUUUUGAAGGAUUAUGAAUUUGAACUGAAAUACCACCCAGGCAAGGCCAAUGUAGUAGCUGAUGCAUUGAGCAGAAAAUCCCUACAUAUGUCUCAUAUGAUGAUCCAAGAACUUGCACUGCUGGAAAACCUUAGAGACUUGAACCUAAGUAUGACAAUCCUCCAAAGGGGAAUUCUUUUAAGUAAACUAGAAAUAACUAGUAGCCUUAGAGAGCAAAUUAGGCAAUCUCAAGGAAUGGAUGAAGAAUUGUAACAUAGAAAGGACCAAGAAAGAUUUACAAGGGUAAGAGAUGGAACAAUCCUAUUUCAGGGAAGAAUUUGGGUACCUAAGGAUUCAGAGUUAAAGAGACUGAUACUAGAGGAAGCUCACAAAAGUAACCUGACUGUCCAUCCUGGAUCUACCAAGAUGUACCAAGACCUUAAGAAAAAUUAUUGGUGGCCAGGUAUGAAGGUUGAUGUGGCUACUUUUGUGGGUCAAUGCCUAACUUGCCAAAAGGUGAGAAUAGAACAUCAGAGGCCAGCAUGAUUGCUGCAACCUCUAGAAAUACCUGAAUGGAAAUGGGACUCAAUUUCCAUGGAUUUUGUUGUAAGUUUACCACAUACCCACACUGGGUAUGAUUCCAUUUGGGUGAUUGUAGACAGAUUAACUAAGUCAGCUCAUUUCUUACCAGUAAAGUCAAACUACAACACCAUCAAACUAGCCAAGUUAUUCAUUAAGGAAAUAGUGAGGUUGCAUGGGGUUCUUCUUAGUAUCAUAUCAGAUAGGGACCCUAAGUUUACCUCCAUGUUUUGGAAGGCAUUUCAAAAGUCUCUAGGAACUAGACUACACCUUAGUACUUCCUACCAUCCCCAGACUGAUGGUCAAACUGAAAGAACCAUUCAGACUCUAGAGGAUAUGCUGAGGGCUUGCAUUUUAGAGGAAGGAGGAAACUGGGAUACACACUUGCCUCUAGUAGAGUUUUCCUAUAACAAUAGUUACCAUGCCAGCAUUGGCAUGACACCUUAUGAGGCUUUGUAUGGAAGGAAAUGUAGGACGCCGUUAUGUUGGUCAGAAGUAGGGGACAAGGGGAUCUUAGGUCCUGAAGUUAUCCAAGAGACCACUGAAAAGAUUAAGGUAAUUAAGGAUAAACUAAAGAUAGCCCAAAGCAGGCAAAAAAGCUAUGCUGAUAUCAGGAGAAGGCCUUUGGAGUUUGAGGAGGGAGAUCAUGUUUUUUUAAGAGUUACCCCCAUUAUUGGCAUUGGAAGAGUGCUAAAGGUCAAGAAGCUAAACCCUCGUUUUGUUGGACCCUUUCAAAUAUUGUAGAGGAUUGGUCCCUCUGCAUAUAGAAUAGCCUUGCCACCCAAACUAUCUAAUCUACACAAUGUUUUUCACGUCUCCCAGUUAAAGAAAUACAUUCCUAAUCCUCACCAAAUUUUGAGUCAUGAGUCUGUCCAACUUAAGUCAAACCUUACUUAUGACCCAAUGCCAGUUCAAAUUAUAGAUAGAAGUGUAAAAGCAUUGAGAAACAAAGAAAUUCCCCUAGUGAAGGUUGUUUGGGAAGGAUCUUCUGUAGAUGAAGCAACAUGGGAAGCAGAGACAGACAUGCAAAUGGAGUAUCCUUACCUUUUCCAAUAGGUAAUCUUCUGAAUUUUGAGGGCAAAUUUUUUUUUGUAAGUGGUGGAGGAUGUAACAACCUAUUAAUUUAAAAAUAAAUAAUUAAUUUAUACAAAAAAAAAUAUUAUUGUAUAUUUGGACAAAUGAAGGGCAAUGGCGUAAUUUUCAUACUAUCCCUCCAAUAUCCCUUUACCACCUUCAGAAACCCACAUUCCCGUUCCUUUUUCUUCUUCGUUACCUGCAUCCAUCCUCCCAUCCUCCCAAUCUUCAACCUCUCAUUUUCCUUCAUUUUUUUUAAUGAAUCAAACCCAAAAGCUUGGCAAAGCUCCUUAAACCCAUUUUUAAGCCUUGCAUGUCUCAAUUUGUAACUACUAACCGGUUUCAAUCAAAGCAGCAGAGGGAUACUAACCAACAAAUGAAGAAGAGUCAAAGUGGCAAUUCAGGCAAAAGGGGACUUCAACGACCAAUUUAAUCGGGACAUUGUCUUCUCCUUUAUCACCAACGGUGAGUUUUUUUUAUCAAAGGGUUUUUGUUGUUGUUGUUGUUAUGAUUAGGGAUUUCAUUUUUUUGAAGUUGUUGAAAAUAAGUUAGAACUUAGGCUGUUGUUUAUGGUUGUGGUGUUUGUGAAUGAAUUAUGUAUUAGGAAAAAUUUAAUUAUAUGUGUAUCACUAUAUUUAAGGUGAUUAUGCUUGUCGGGCACGAUUUAUGCUCGUUACUGCUGUUGUUGCUUCUGAUAUGUAUUUGUGAAAUUGCGUUAUGUUACCUUAAUUUCGGUUAGAAUGAUGAUUUUAGGUGCAUGCAUUUAAAAUAUAUGGUUUUAUUUACUAGUGAAGAGAAAAUUCUAUUUUUAUCCCAAAUAAUCAAUGCAUGAGAGGUGUUUGAUGAAAAUACUGUGAGAACUAUUGCAGGAAAAUUGUUGUAUUUAAGUUUGGUUUUCUAAAUAAAAACAAAAUUGUGUAAACAAGUCUUAGAAUCAGAUUUUUCAUGAAUUAUAGGUUUCCAAUUUUGAGAUGAGAUCAAUUGCAUUAUGUUCUUAAUUGAGUUAGCUUUUAAGGAAAUUUUUGGAAUUUUCUAAAGUAAUUUGUGCCUUCAUCAAUAAUUAUUAGUGACCAUUGUGCUGAAAAUAUUCUAAUGUGUGAUUUGUAAGAAUGAAUAGAAUUUUUAAGAAAUUUGAAUGACUUCAUUAUUUAUAUAUAUAUAACUUUUAUUAUAUUUGAAUUAUUAAUUGUUAUGGAGUUGUUACUAUUUUCAUGACUCAAAUAUUGUUCUAUUUUCUGACUAUAGAUUUACGUUUUGAAUUAAGGGCUUGAGAUUAAAUUAUUAUGAGUUUAAGCAUAUCGCAUAAUUUAUUGAUAAUUGUUGUGGAUGAAUGAUGCAUUUUAUAUAUGAUAUAAUAAGUGCAUUUCAUACAAAACAUGUAAGUUUUGUACAACAUCAUUGAUCAGAGCAUGCAUGGCCUUAUUCACGGUGGGACAUUUAGGUUAUUUCAGGCAUGGAAUAACAGGUAAAGGAGAACAAUCAGGACGCUGAUUGGGGUUUGGCCAGACCACCUUUACCAAUCAGGACUCAAUUAUCUUAGUGACCCACAUUAAGAUAUUGAGCGACUUUUCCUUAUUCCAAAGGAAAAGAUUUGAGGUCAUGCAUACGUUUUUCACAACAUAUAUAUAGACAUGUAUAAUUAUUUUUACGUGUUAUGCACUUUUAUGAAAGAAAUUCCUUGAGAUUGUUCUCCCAUUUUAUUUUUAGAGCUCACUGAGAUAUUUUAUCUCACCCCAAUUAUUAUUAUUAUUUUUUCUUUAGCAGCUGGAGGAACAUGAGUCAUGAAAUCAGCAUCAGAAGAUUAGUUCCAAACUCGUGGAAUUAGAAUUUAAUAUUUUGUUUUAUGAUGUAAUCAGACAAUGGUAGUUGUUUUCAAGAUGUAAUAUUUUAUGAAUCUACUAAACAAGUUGUAAACUAUAUUAUGAAUGUAGUUUUCAGUUAUGAUGGUGAUUCUAAUUUAUUAUUUAUUGUUAAUUACCUCUGUUUUAUUAAGGUGUAUGGGCCAAAUUAUCAUAUUCUAGACAAAUGAUAAUGGGUCUUACACUUAUCCCCGUGACUCUGUAACUAGUGCUUCUGACUUUGAGGAAUAACCAAUCAACCCACGUUCCUUUCUUCGAGCUUCUUCAUUCAAAAUGCUCUCUUUAACUGUUGAUAUUUUCAACUUUCCACUUGGAGCUGAAUUGGUCAACGUCACAACAAGGACUUCCCAAUUAUCAGGCAACGAACUAAACAAUAACAACGCUUGCAACUCAUCAUCUAAUUUAAUUUCCGCGGUUGUCAACUGAUUCACUGUAUUCUGAAAAAUACUCAUAUGCUCUGCCAUUGAAUCCCCAUCUUUAUAUUUCAUAUUCACCAGCUUCCGAAUCAAGAAUGCUUUAUUUUGCACAUUCUUUCGUUCAUACAACUCUUUUAAUUUUUCCCACAUCUUGUUAGCAUCUAUUUCAGUUUCAACAUGUGGAUACACACUAAGAUCCAACCACUGCCUAAUCAACGCCACUGCCUCUCUAUUCAUCUUCUUCCAGUCAGCGUCAGAUUUAUCUGCGGGUUUAGCAGUGUCACCCUCAAUAGGAUCAUACAAAUCUUUACUGUAUAACAUGUCUUCCAUGAGAGUCUUCCAAAGUGUAUAAGUAGAAGAGUUGAGUUUAAUCAUAUUGGGACCUUUAUUUUUCUCCUCCAUUUAAAUGCACAAAUCAAAUAACCGAGCUCUGGAUACCACUUUGUUGGGAAAAACCAGAGAUAAUUAUCUCAAUAAUGCGGAAUAUUUUUCCCCCACCUGUACAGAUAAAUGGGCAAAUAGAAAAUACAAUUCCAAGAGCAAUAAUAAUUGGCAGAAAAUUAAAUAUGAGACAAACACAAUUUUAACGUGGAAAACUUCCCUCAAAUUGAGAGAAUAAAAACCACGGGACCUAGUCCAGUAAAAACUUCCACUAUAAUAAUUAAUGGGUACACCAAGAGUCUUCCUAAUAACAAUAGGGAAUAUAAAUCAACAAUAACAACCCUAUAACAACCUUCCACUAAAGUGGGUAUGCCAAAGUAACUCUCAGAGAAGAUAAAACUACUCAAAUUAUAUGUUAAAAUAACAAACUCAGUGGUAGGAAUAACAUACUAAAUUUGUAGAUCAAACGAAGCAAGUUUGCUACACACCUAUUACCACCAUUGGAACCAAACCCUUUUUUUUCUUCUCUGGCAACCGUUAUUCUUCCGUUGUCUGUUUGUAUGUCUCUUAGGGAUUUCUAAAUCAUUUUUAUUACCUUCAAGUGGGCCAAACCCAUUAAAACCUUUUUUUUUUCUUUUUAUUUCAAUAAUAAUAAUAAUAUUAGUAAAAUUGGUGGAUUCCACUUGGGGAGUGAGUCCACCCAACAAAUCUCCCCCUCACGACUCAAGUGGGAAGGUACUGCUCAACCAUGUCAGGUUUCUUUCUGCAACAUAUCAUCUUCGACACAAGCAAGGUCUUCGUCGUCAUAUCUGAACCAUUCUCAUCAGUAUGAAUCUUCUCAAUUAAAAAUAACUUCAUUUCCAGUGCAUCUCGUAUCCAAUGAUAUCGCACUUCAAUAUGCUUCGACUUUGCAUGAAAAGUCGGAUUCUUGCUGAGAUGGAUCACACUCUGAUUUUCAUAGAAUAACACAAACUUGUCUUGCUUGAGGCCUAACUCAUGUAGGAAUUUCUUCAUUCAAAUGAGUUCUUUGGAAGCUUCAGUUGCUGCAAUGUACUCAGCUUCAGUAGUAGAUAAAGCAACACACUUUUGUAGUCUUGAUUGCCAAGACACAGUUCCCCCUGCAAACGUCAUCAUAUAACUAGAAGUAGAUUUUCUAGAAUCAAGAUCACCUGCCAUAUCUGCAUCUGUGUAGCCAUCCAACACAAGUUCACCAACUCCAUAGCAUAAACACACUUCGGAAGUGCCUCUAAGGUAUCUGAAAAUCCACUUCACUGCUUGCCAAUGAUCUUUACCAGGAUUAGAGAGAAAUCGACUAACAACUUCAACUGCAUGGGAAAUAUCUGGCCUUGUGCAUACCAUAGCAUACAUCAAACUACCAAUUGCGGAUGCAUAAGGAACCUUCUUCAUCUCUUCUUUGUCUUUCUCACUUGUAGGACAUUUAUCAGAAUUCAAUUUAAAAUGAGUAGCAAGUGGAGUACUAACAGGUUUGCAAUUGCUCACGUUAAACCUCUCUAACACCUUCUCAAUAUAACUGUGUUGAGACAACCCCAAUUUAUUAUUCUUCCUGUCACGAGUAAUUCUCAUACCCAGAAUUUGCUUUGCAGGACCUAAGUCUUUCAUUGCAAAAGACUUGUUCAAAUCUUUCUUUAAAGAUUGAAUCUUCUUAGUGUCAUGACCAACAAUCAACAUGUCAUCCACAUAUAAUAAGAGAAUAAUAUAAUCACCAUAAGAGAAUUUCUUGAUAAACACACAAUGGUCAGAAGUAGUUUUACUAUACCCAUGUUUCUCCAUGAAAGAAUCAAAUUUCUUGUACCAUUGUCGAGGUGCUUGCUUGAGCCCAUACAAACUUUUCUUUAAUUUGCACACAAGAUGCUCUUUACCUUUGACUUCGAAACCCUCUGGUUGCUCCAUAUAGAUCUCUUCCUCCAAAUCACCAUGAAGGAAUGCAGUUUUCACAUCAAGUUGUUCAACUUCUAGGUUCAAACUAGCUGCUAACCCAAGCACAACUCGGAUAGAGGACAUCUUCACCACAGGUGAAAAAAUUUCAUCAAAGUCAAUACCUUUUCUCUGAUUAAAACCUUUCACAACCAAUCUUGCUUUGUAUCUUGGUUGAGAACUAUUCUCUUCUGCCUUUAUCUUGUAUACCCAUUUGUUCUUGAGUGCUUUUCUACCAUUAGGCAACUUUACCAAAUCAAAUGUGUGAUUCUCAUGCAAGGAAUUCAUCUCUUCUUGCAUGGCCUUUAACCACUUUUCUUUAUCAACAUUUGUAAUAGCUUCUUGAUAAUACUAUGGCUCUCCACUAUNNNNNNNNNNNNNNNNNNNNNNNNNNNNNNNNNNNNNNNNNNNNNNNNNNNNNNNNNNNNNNNNNNNNNNNNNNNNNNNNNNNNNNNNNNNNNNNNNNNNNNNNNNNNNNNNNNNNNNNNNNNNNNNNNNNNNNNNNNNNNNNNNNNNNNNNNNNNNNNNNNNNNNNNNNNNNNNNNNNNNNNNNNNNNNNNNNNNNNNNNNNNNNNNUUGGUCUUUAGAUUUCCAAGGAAAGGCCCACACUUUUCUAGAGUGGUCGUCAAUAAAAGUAACAAAAUAUGAUGCACCACCAAGAGAUUUACUAUCCAUCAUACAAACAUCAGUAUGAACUAAAUCAAGAAUAUUUUGCCUCCUAUGAGGACCAGUAUUAUGAAAAGAAACUCUAUGUUGUUUUCCAGCAAAACAAUGAGUGCAAGUUUUUAGAGACGUACCUUUCACAGGAAGAAAAUUUUUCUUCGCAAGUAUGUUGAGUCCUUUCUCACUCAAGUGACGAAGGCGCAUAUGCCAUAAAUCAGAAGAUGCAUCUUCAAUUGCAUUCACUUCUUCCUUGCAUAGCUUCGUAGGCAUCCUAUAGAGAGAAGUGGAACUUUGUUCCUUUGCAACCACUAGGGACCCUUUAGUGAUUUUACAUAUACCACCACCACCAAAGAAAGUGUGAUAACCAUCAAUAUCCAAGGCUUUCACCGAAAUCAAAUUGAGACGAAUAUCAGGAACCAAUCCCAGUUUCAACCGAAACAUCUCCCAUACCGAUAAUUUUACAUACUCCUUCAUCUCCCAUUUUUACCAUGCCAAAAUCACCAGCACUGUAACAUGAGAAGAAAUCAUGCCUAGGAGUAACAUGAUAUGAGGCACCCAAAUCAAUAAUCAAAGUUGAAUCCUGACAUGCAAGGUUUAUGGAAUUAUCAUCACAAACAAUGUAGGCAUUAUUAACAGAUACAACUGCUGUUGCCACAAUGAUAGCAUAUCACUUCUUUUCUAGUCCUCGACUUGCUUCUUGACUUGCUACGACUUUCAGAGUUGUCGCGUCUAUGGAAGUUUCUAGAUUGACUUAUCCCUCGUGACUCUGUAACUAGUGCUUCUGACUUUGAGGAAGAACCAAUCAACCCACGUUCCUUUCUUCGAGCUUCUUCAUUCAACAUGCUCUCUUUAACUGUUGACAUUUUCAACUUUCCACUUGGAGCUGAAUUGGUCAACGUCACAACAAGGACUUCCCAAUUAUCAGGUAAGGAACUCAACAAUAACAACGCUUGCAACUCAUCAUCUAAUUUAAUUUUGCGGUUGUCAACUGAUUCACUGUAUUCUGAAAAAUACUCAUAUGCUCUGCCAUUGAAUCCCCAUCUUUAUAUUUCAUAUUCACCAGCUUCUGAAUCAAGAAUGCUUUAUUUUGCACAUUCUUUCGUUCAUACAACUCUUUUAAUUUUUCCCACAUCUUGUUAGCAUCUAUUUCAGUUUCAACAUGUGGAUACACACUAAGAUCCAACCACUGCCUAAUCAACGCCACUGCCUUUCUAGUCAUCUUCUUCCAGUCAACAUCAAAUUUAUUUGCGGGUUUAGCAGUGUCACCCUCAAUAGGAUCAUACAAAUCUUUACUGUAUAAUUAGAAGAGUUGAGUUUAAUCAUAUUGGGACCUUUAUUUUCCUCCUCCAUUUAAAUGCACAAAUCAAAUAACCGAGCUCUGGAUACCACUUUGUUGGGAAACACCAGAGAUAAUUAGCGAUAAUUAUCUCAAUAAUGCGGAAUAUUUUUUCCCCCACCUGUGCAGAUAAAUGGUCAAAUAGAAAAUACAAUUCCAAAAGCAAUAAUAAUUAGUAGAAAAUUAAAUAUGAGAGAAAUACAAUUUUAACAUGGAAAAUUUCCCUCAAAUUGAGAGAAUAAAAACCACGGGACCUAGUCCAGUAAAAACUUCCACUGUAAUAAUUAAUGGGUACACCAAAGUCUUCCUAAUAACAAUAGGGAAUAUAAAUCAACAAUAACAACCCUAUAACAACCUUAUAACAACCUUCCACUAAAGUGGGUAUGCCAAAGUAACUCUCAGAGAAGAUAAAACUCAGUGGUAGGAAUAACAAACUCAGUGGUAGGAAUAACAUACUAAAUUUGUAGAUCAAACGGAGCAAGUUUGCUACACACCUGUUACCACCACUGGAACCAACCCUUAUUUUUCUUCUCUGGCAACUGUUCUUCCGUUGUCUGUUUGUAUGUCUCUUAGGGAUUUCUAAAUCCUUUUUAUUACCUUCAAGUGGGCCAAGCCCAUUAAAACCAUUUUUUUUAUUUCAAUAAUAAUAAUAAUAAUAUUAGUAAAAUUGGUGGGUUCCACUUGGGGAGUGAGUCCACCCAACAAAAAUGACAAAAGAUGUUUAUAAAAAGAUGUAACAAUUCAUUCAUACAAAUAAUUAUAUGCCACAAUAGAAGACAUCUCAAAAUAUAUUAUCCAAAUAUUCAUUAACAAUAAUUAAAUAAUUAAGUUCAAAUAGUAAAUAAUGAAUUUUAAUAAAGAUCGAAUUCAAACUUUGACUUGAUUAACUAUUGAUCAAACAUUAGCACUUUCUAACUAAACUUUGAAUAAUCAUAUCAAAAACUCAAAUCACACAUUUUAUAUAUUUUACACAUUGCGUCAUAAUGCUACUUGAUAAAAUACAUAUAAGAUAUCUAUGUGGUGAAAAAAUUGAAUACCCAUCAUAUUUUUACCCUUACAAAACUCUAUGGUCUGUCAAGCUAAAUAUGAUUUUGAUUAUAUGAAUUGUUUAUUUAGAGUGAAAAGUUGGAUUUAAAUUUUUGCUAAAAAGUGUGAAAAUUUGAAAGUUAUAUAUGAAUUACUUUGUUGAUGAAUAUAUAGACUAUUAUUGAGAUUUUUGUAAAAAGAAAAACUACUAUUGAGAUGCCAUGUACUAUGGCAUACAACUAUUUCUAGGAAAGUAAGUAAAAAAUUGAUAAGCAAUAAAUUAUGAUUCUUACUUGCAGAUCUUUCUAUUCCUAAAAGAAAAAUUAGAACUUUAGGAAUAAUUGAAAAAGUUCCACUUGCAUCCUUUCAUAGCACAAGAUGCACAUUGUUCCUUCAAAAUUAAUUUAAAUGAACCGAUAUGAUUUAAAAAAUUAGUUUGGGAUUGCUUGGUCAAUAUAAGAUUUAAUAAUUUAGCAUUCUUUGUAUCAUCUAUUUUUAUAAUGUGGGGUGGAAUUUUUCCAAAUCAUAAUAAUAUGGAAUAUAUAUGCAAACACUCAACCCAAAAUCUAAAUUGCAUUUCCAACAAAAAUAAUAAUAAUAAUUAUAAUGAUGCAAAAUUCAUUUCACUGAAAUUCAAAUUCCACCCUAUUACAGAAUUCUCUAUUUUAUACAAAAAUUAAAAAAUCAUGUUGCUUGCCUAUACAAACAAGACAUAAUUAUUAUUAUUAGUAUUAGUUUUAUGAAAAAUAUUAUAUAGCUCUUAAAAUAUUGCAGCUUUUAGUCUCCUUCCAAGCUCCUUUCUGAAAAGAAAAAAAAAAAUCAUUAUGAGCAUAACAUAACAUCAUAUAAAUAAUUCAUAUGCAUCAAUAUAAUUAAAUGGUUAGUGAAAAUGAUUGUUUUUGAUUAUUACCUUAUGAGUUGCCUAUCAAAUCCAGAAGCAGCCAAAAGUCCUCUGUUUUCUUCAGCCCUUCUUAACAAGUAAGGCAUAACCAUCUCAACUGGUCCAAAUGGCAUAUACUUGCUUACUCUAAAUCCAGCAUUGCUUAAACCAAAUGAAAGUGCAUCUGCCAUUCCACAUAAUUGUGCAAAUUCAAGCUUGUGAUUCACUUUUCUAAUCCCUAUUUCAUAUGCUUUUGCAGCAGCCAAUUUUCCUACACACAACAUUCAUUUUUCACUUCACAUUAGACACAUUCAUUUAAAAUGUUGCUAUUUCUAUGCUGCGUCAACAAAAGGAGUCAGCCCUGAUAGAAGUAUAUUUCUAAAUAUGAUACGUGUGAUUAGAGUUGUCUAGAUGAGUCUGGCCCGUGGGUCAGUCCAUUAGCCCACUUUAUUUAUUGGGCUGGACUAUAAAAAAAAUUAGCUUCGAGUCAGACUACUUUUUAGAAGAAAAAAUUGAACGAAUUGAGUUAUUUCUCAAUGGACUGGAUUAGUGCAUUUGACAAUUCUAUGUGAGGUUAUAUUAUAUCACUUUAUUUUCUUAUUAUCAGCAUUUACAUGUCAAUAUCAAUAUUCUUUAAGAUGAAUGUAUAAAAUAGAUAGAAGUGAAGAUAACAUGUUGAAUUGUAUGUAUAUAUAAUUAGUACCUGAUUGAAUAUUAUGAGUAGCAAGAACAAGAGAACCAGGUCCAUUGGCAAUCUUUUGAAGCAAAAAAGAAGAACAAUCAUUGAAGCAAUUGUGUGUGUCUUGAAUGGUAGCAUGAAUUGGGGAAGGAUAUCCAAAAGAGUGAGCCAAAGUAUUUUCAGUGGACAUAUAAGCACCUCUAACCAAUUUAAAUCCCAUUGGAAUUCCAAUAUUGUCAGCAGCUUUAGUUGCAAGAAGCAAUCUCUCCUUAGCAUCUUUCAAGUAAGUUUGAAUUGUUCCAAACACAAUUGGAUUAUCAUCUUUGUUAUGAAUAAUAGCUGAAGAAUAUGUGAAGUAAUCAAUAGCUGGUUGAACACUUGUGUGUUCUGCAUCAACCAACAAAGGCAUAUUACUUUCAACACAUUUUUCACAAAGUUUUUGUAAUCUUUCAUUUGCUAGUUCAAGAUCAUUCUCUUCUUCUGAUGUUAAUGGUUCAGGUCUUUUCUGAGUGUGAUACAAUGGACUUGACUCUGAGAAUAUUGGAAGACAAUCUUGUUUCCAUGCUAAUUUCAAUGAAGGCUCUUUUUCUUGCCAUCUUAGAAGAUCACUUAUUCUCUCUAGUAAUGCCAUUGGACAUAUUGCUGUUAUUUUCACUAUUACAAAACUCACCUAUCACAUCAAAAAAUAAAUUAAAAUUAGAAUAAAUAAAUAAAAUAUAUAAUCAUAUAGAACUAUCAUUUAUGAUUGAAGACGUGUUAUAUACUCUCACAGAUAUGAGACACUUAUACGACAUAUACAUAAUUACUAUAUUCAAUUAAUUUAUUUUCUUAAAUUAUUAUUGAUAUCAAUAUAUCGUUCUCCGUGUCAUCUUCGAUGUUCGUAUUAAUAUUUAUAUUGUGUAGUUUUUUAUACAUUGCGUGGGUAAAAAGUUAUACACUUUCAAAAAUCACAACCAAUCAAAUAAAUAAUUUGAAAAAUAAAUAAUUUAAAAAAUUAUUAUUAUUAAAGUUAAAUAUUUAUAAUGAUUUAAUAAAUUUUGUUGAUUAACAUUAUAAAAUAUUUUUAUAUAUGAAUUAAAUUCAUAAAAAAAAAGAUACUCUAGUACAGUAGUAUACUAUCUUAAUACAAACAUUAUGAAAAUGAAAUAAUUAAUACUCUAGUUAGAAAUGGUGAAAAGUCCAAACUACUAGACCUAACCCUAUUGUCCAAAAUACCAACAUCAAAUUCUAAACACUAGUUUUCCAUUUUUAUGAAACAAUGCCAAACCUCAUUGUCCUUCAGCUAGGUGUGGGACCAUCACUAUAUAAAUAAGACAACAUAUAGAUCGAUAUCAUAAUAUCAUCACUUUGUUAAUUACUUAUAAUUACAAUUUGCAAAAAAUACAAAAAAAGCUAUAACAUGACCUGAAUUGAAAAUGACAAUAGGAUAUAAUAGAUCAAGUUGUUGUACUAGAUAUGAUAAUAACUUGCCCAUACUGAUUCAUGCAAAGUGACACAUGUUGCCAACUCAAUUCACAUUCACUUACUCACACUCACACAGAAACCAUAAUCAAACACCUCAAACUCAUGCCCAAAAGCCAAGCAUUCCCUUAGAAGUUCAAGGGCAACCACCCAUCAUACAUUCCAAUAAAUCAUCAAUUUUGUCCCUAAAUUACUAUUUUUUUCUUUAUUUUAGUUUUUUAAUAGACAAAAUUGUAACUAUUGUUAGAAAUUCAGACAUAUAAUUACGGGUUUUAGAUUCGAAGUUAAAGAUAAAAUGUUCAAUGUAAUAAUAUCAGUAUUUAUUAAUUGAACUAAAACUUAAAGAGUCUUUAAUUUUAUUAUUUAACAACUAAAAUAUACUAAAAAGUCCUUAAACAAUUUUUCUAUCCAACUAUCUAGUCUCUCUGUUAUUAGUCCGUUUGGAUAUUUAUCAAUAAUCCUAUUUUAAUAAAAAUAGAACAAUGUAAUAGUAAAAUAUUAUUAAAAAAAACAAUAUAAAUGCAGUUUUGAAAUAAGGUUGUUAAAAUCGCGAGUUAAUUCUUAAAAACGUACGGUUCCUUGAGUUUAGGUAUUAAUUUUGAGUUCAUUCUAAUGUAAACUCGAAUUUUAAUAAACUCGAAAAUGAAAUCGAGUUUACUUAACUAGACUUGCUUUAAACUCGAUAAACGCGAGUAAACUCACAUAAUUUUUUUAAUAAUUUUUUUUUUUUAUCUUUUUGUUAUUUUCAAUGAACUCAAUAAACUCUAUUAAAUUCAUUUGUAAUUUUUAACAAAAUAUUUUAUUUUUUCAUAUCGGUUUUCACUUUCAGUUUAGUUUGAUUUUGUUCAUGUUACUUUUUUUUCUUCAUAUAAUUGAGUUGAAAUUUUGAAUUAUUGAGACAUUUAUUGUAUUAUAUUUUUUUUUUUAUGAAUGCGAAGAAUCAAACUCCAUAAAAACAAAACAAAACAAAGCUAAACAUUCGUAGGAAAUGCAACCAAAUUCUUUUCGACCAACACGUUGAGAGAGAAGAAAUCAGAAAUUGUAUAAAUAAACACAAUCGAUUUGAGAAGAAAAAAGUUUGAAUUUAACAAAAAUAUAUAUUACUUGAUUGACUUCACAGUAGAGAUGAGAUACUUUAAAGUGAUUCAACGUACAAACUUCUUUGUUAUACGAGUGGCAAUACAAUAACAUAAAUAUCUAUGACAAACAAUUCCUUAAAUUUAAGGACACUGAUACUUGAGAAUCUGAUUUGAUAUCAAUGUUUCUAAAACCUCUGGAAAAGAUCAACUUCAAACCAUUAUAUAUCCUCCAAAGUUAUGUCAUUAAUAUAGCGUACAUCCCUAAAGCAUAAGAGUAGUCAAAAAUAAAAAAAACACCAUUGUAGCCAAAAUGAGUUUACUUAAACCAUUAAUUUUGACAACCUAGGUUUUGAACCCUUAAUUUUAGUCAUUUUGCAAUUUUAAUUCCUUCGUUUGUUUUUUCACUUUUGAUCUCUUAUUUUAAAAAUUUCAGAUAUUUUAUCCACCCAUGAAUUUGAUGUUCAAUUUUAAUGAUAAUGGCAAUUAAAUAGGGUGUUAUGGAUCUGUUUCCAUGUAUAUGCGAAUACAUAUAAUUUUUUUUAAGUCACUUUAAUAAAAUUUGAAGAAAAAAAAAGUUUUUAAAUAAAAAACAAGUUAAAGUAAAUAAAAAAAAAUUGAAAAAAAUGGAAAUUGAAUAGGAAAAAUAGAAGACGAUGAACCUUAAAAUCAGAAUUUCCCUAUCUAAAACCAUAUCUAUAUACACAAGAUAAUAAUGAUAAUGAUCAUGUUUAAAAUCACAAUAAAUUUGUAGAAGGUUCAAAAUUACAGUAGCAUAUAUGAGAUUAUGCAUAACUUAUCAUUAAUUCAAACAAACUCAAGAAUAAUAUUCUUAAUAAAUAAUUAAGUAGUUAUAGGUGAGGAUAUCUUUUCUUUAUCAUUCAUUUGUUUAUAAUUUCUUUAUUAGUUACAAGUAGUUUUACCUUUAUUAUAAUUAGCUGAGUUUGUUAAGAGAUAUUUAGAAUUAUUCAUCUUACAUAUAAUUUCUCAUUUUUAAUCUUUUAUUCGAUCGACAAAUGUAAUUAUUUCCGAAACUUUUUAUUUUAGUUAUUCAAUAAAUAUAGUAUCAAUAAUAUAGUUUUUCCUUUUAUUCCAUUUGAUUGAAAUUAUUUAGAAAUCUUCCAUUUUAUCCGUUCAACAAAAUUUUCAUGAACUCAAUUGAUGAAAAGAAAAAAAUUAAAGAAGCGUAGAUUACCGAAGAUGGAGGAAGUGAUAUGCUAACAUCAACGGUAUGAAGGAAGUUAUUAAGGUUACGGUCACAACAAUCGUUAUCAUGUGCUUCUUCCACACCAUAACCAAGUAUGCCACGUAAUCCGGCUUCGUUUAUCGACCGGAUCCUCCGGCAGGCAGCCACGGCAUCUUCGCCGGCGCAAAAAUGUUUGUAGAAUGUCUUUCGAGUCACGGCCAUCAUGGCAUCCUUCAAAACUCCCGUUUGAAAGAGUUUUGACUUCAUUGUCCACACUCCAAGGUCCACCAUGGGACCCAUUGCGGUCGCAUGGAGAACUGCAGAGGAGUGAAGGAGGGUAGAGUUGGAAACCGAAGAGAAUAGUUUCUCGGAAGACUUUAAGUCAAUUGAGUGUGGUGUUGUGGUGGCCGGAGAUAGUUGUUUCUCGAGAAUUGAAGGCGGAACUACUACGGAGGGGUGAGGUGAGUUAAGAGGCUUUGUGGUGGUGUUGUAGUGGAAGUUGUUGAGGAUUCUUUUUGGAGGAACCACACGGUUUGCCAUUCAAAUUACAAAGAUUUUAUUUAUUUUUUAUGAUUUUAACUAUUGUUGUUGUGUUUUUGUUUUAGUGGAAUGAAAAGAUACAACACAAAUUAACACGUGAUGUUUUUCUUCUUUGCAAUGAGGUUAGGGAGUGGUAGUUUAAUAUAUAUAGCUAGGCGAUUUGGUUAAGGAAAAUACUACUACACUAUACAAGCUUGAAGUUGGACAAGUGCACAUAAUAAAAUAGAUUGGGCAAGCACAUGUGAAUCGUGUCUAAAAAAAUUAAAAUAGAUUUAAAAAAUAAAUCUUAAAUUUAAAUAUGAAAAAAAUAAUAUAACCAUUAAUUUAUUAAUAUUUAUUCCAUAUGAAAUAUUUUAGAACUCACUUACACACUUGACAACAAAAUCCAUGACAACUUUCUCAAUGGACUAUUAAUCUACAAAUUAUUUAUAAAAAUAUGCACCAUAUUAUCCACCUUUAUUUUACAUGUCAAAAUUAUUUGCAUAAUAUAUUCACAUGAAUUCAUGAAAUGUACUUUCAUUUUAUACACAUCACAUCUUAUCUCAUAUUAAUAUAAUAUUUUCGUUGAUAGGAUUAUUUAUUGUUUCCUCACUAGUUGAUAGGUACCAACCAAUGAAAUAAAAUACUUUGUUAAAAAUAUAUUUUUGUCUUAUUGCAUUCACUCACUCAAAGCAUGAGAAUCGUGCAAUAACUUUACAGAAACAAAUACUUUUUCCAAGCUAAUCAAGACUCAAUAAUAGUUUAUUUUAGAAUAUCCCUUAUAAAAAGUAAAUUCUCUAGUAUUUUAAAGUUUGAUGGAUAUCAAUACUUUGAAUGUAAGUUAUUUAAAAUAAUUAAACAUAAAAAAUAUAUUAUAUUAAAUAAUUAGAUGUUAAAUAUUAUACUCAAUAAAAUUUUAAAGAAUCAAAAUAUUGUACUCUCUCAUAAUCAAUAUUAUUGUAAUAAAAAUAAUUAUUUCAAAAUAAAUAUCAUUAUAAAUUUAAUUAUUUUUUUCAUAUAUUUUAUACGUAAUUUUCAAAUGUUAUUAUAUUUUAUAUUGGUAAUGAUAAAAAAUCCACUAAUAAUUAAAAUGAAUAAUUUAAUAAAAUGAUUUAUUUUUAUAAUUAUUAUACUCUUUUAUAUACAUAAAAAAAGUUUAAACCACAUAGAUAGAGUAAAAAUUAAUAUUCAGUCCUUUUUUUUUAUUUACGAAUUUCAAUCUAUUCCUUAAUACCAAUUAAAUCCAAGGAAUUCAUACUUGGAUAAGUAGGGAUGAGAAUAUGUUAGGCCGUCCGUAAGGGGCUUAUGGUCUGGCCUACUUAUGGUCUGACUUAUUUAAUAAAAAUGCUAGACUCAGACCGUUUUUAAAGUCUAUUUAUUUAAAUAGGUCAGGCUCAGGCUUAUAAAAAAGUCUAUUAGGUCUGACAGACUGGCCUAUAUAUAUUUUAUUAUUUAUUAAUAUUAUUUAUUAUUAUUAUUAUAUUAAUAAUAUUAUUUCCUAUUUUAAAUUCUAUCAAUUAAGCAAUUACUCAUCAUUCCGUAUUCAGUAGUUGUUCCAUAUUCGGUAGCAUUUCAUAUUUGGUAGUCAUUUCAUAUUUGGUAGUUGUUCAAUUAGUCAAUCACUCAGUAGUCUUCCAUAUUUGUUUAAGAGGUAAUAAUGAGUGUGUUUGUUUCAAAAAAAAAAAUCUAUUAUUUGACACAAAAAAUUAUUUUUAGGGUUUAAAGGAUGUUUAUUUCAUAUUUUUUAAAAACUAUUUUAAAUAGGCUUUUAAAUAGGCUUCUAGGCUAGACCAGACUUUUAAAAAGGUAAGACCAGAACGAAAAAAAAGCCUGUGCUAGACCGUAGACCGGACUUAAGCCUAAAAAAUAAAUCUUAGGCCAGACUCAAGCCUUUCAAAGCCUAGUCUGACUUGACAUAUUCCCACCCUUAUUGCCAAGUGAGACUUCUAUAUAUAUAUAUAUAUAUAGCCACCCUCUCUUUAAUACUCUAUUUUCAAUACCUAUUAGAUAGUGAUAGAAAAACGUCAUUAGCACUAUAAUAAUAAAAUUUCAAUGAAAAUGAUGUUCGAAAGUAUUUUCUGUCAAAAGAGUCUCUAUUUUAAUUUCGUACUUUUCUAAGGAUUUUAGCAGCAAAACUUAUAUUUAUUAAUUAUAAAAAAAAUGAAGGAGAUAAGGUUGGAAUUUAUGCUCCAAUAUAUUAAAUAUUUCUAAAACUAAGAGUUGUAUUUAUGAAAAUCUUAACUUAAUAUUUAAUCAUCUUUUUUUAUAUAAAAAAAACGUUGAUACUCAGAAACAUAAUCAACUAUAAAAAUACCAACUUAAAAGGCUAUUUUUUUUCUCUACAAAUAUAUUAAAUUUUGUUUUCAAUAUUUUCAAAAUUUUGUCUUUUUCCAAUUAUUAAUUUUAGUCUCCGUAUUUUAACGAAAAUCUAUAUGACAAAUGUCUUAGUGACUUUUUUAUGAUGUGUGAUUGUUAGGAUCUUAAAAUGUCAUUAACUUAACAAUUUAACCAUUGAAAAAUUUAAUUUAGUCAUUUAUUCUUUAAUUUAGUGUUAUAGAUAAAUUAAUAAAGAUUUAAUAAAUUUUGAAUAUUAAAAUAUUAUAUUUAAACUAAUUGAUGAAUGGUAAAAAGUGUCUUGAGUAUAGUUUGUACAGUCCAUUAAAAUUAUUGUAGAUUAUAAUUAUUCACACAUUUUUAACUAAUAACAAAUUAAUGAAUUAAUUAUUAAUUAUUAAUUAUUAAUUAUUAAUUAUUAAUUAUUAAUUAUUAAUUAUUAAUUAUUAAUUAUUAAUUAUUAAUUAUUAAUUAUUAAUUAUUAAUUAUUAAUUAUUAAUUAUUAAUUAUUAAUUAUUAAUUAUUAAUUAUUAAUUAUUAAUUAUUAAUUAUUAAUUAUCUUUUAAGUACUAAUUCAGGAAUAAAAAUAAUCUUUUAAUUAAUUAACUAUGGUAAACAUUUGAUAAUUGUCAUGUUUUGAAAGGUAAUAGUUGUGAUUUUGAUUACAUCAAUGUUGGAAAAUUAUUUCAAAAUUUCCAAGUUGGUAAACAACUAAUAGUAGCUGAAAAGUAUAAACCAAGUUCAACAAUUAGCUAGCUCCAUUAAUUUCCACGAAGAUGCUCCAAUUUUAAUUUUCUAAGUACAAAAAUGGAAAUCCAAGCUGUAUAUUCUAUUUUAUCAACACAAAAAAAAAAUUGCAUAUAUAUUCCAUCGCCAACCAUUGCUGAAUUUAUGGGAUUCUAACAAAAGGAAGAUUCCAUCUCCUACAUAAACAACAUGAGCAUGUGAUGCUUCUAACGAGAAUCCAACAUCCUUGGAAAUUUUUCAAAGUCAUCUUAGAAUAUGUUAAUUAAAUAUUUAAAAGUAAACCAAGAAUAGGCAUUAAAAAACGUGUGUUUGUUAGUACUUUUGAUGAGAUAAUUUAGAAAAAUAGGAACACGUUUAAAUUUAAAAGAUUAUCUUUGAUUGAAACUAUUAUUUAUAACGACCCCAAAGUCAAACCAUAUGCAUAUUCCAGAUCCAAUUUUUUGGGCACGACCAACUUACAAGUGAAGUCAAAACAACUAACAUUAUUCAUAUUAUCUUUAAUAGUCUCUUUUAAAGAAGAAACUUUUUAUUAGUAUAAACCAGUUAUUAACCUCUUUUAUUCCUUUUUACCCAUUUGAGACCAAUUAUUUGGUUUUGUUUUGUUUUAGAAAAUAUGAUUUACUAGUUUAUGUGAUUUAUUUUAAUUUGUAUUAUUUAAUUUAUUUGUAGAGUUGAGUCUGCUCAUUGGAGAUUGAAAAACAUGAUGCAAACUAAUUUUGGUGAUUUGUGUAAAAGUUGGGAUGUUGUGAAUAUGAUGUUGAACAACCAAAUAUGUAUCAUUCAAUCUUCUUUUCAGAAAACCAUCAAGGAUGUUGAAGACGGGUAUAAUUCAUCAUUCUUUCAAAGUCUACAUCAUUAUGUAUCAAGGAAAUGUUUUUAAAAAAUUGACAAACAAUUGCAAAGAGUGAAGAUUGUAGGUACUACCAAAACAAUAUGUGGUUGCUCAAUCAGAACAACCCAUGGAUUACCAUGUGCUUGUGAGUUGGCAAAGUUGCAGAUAUCUGGUAAUGUUAUCCCUUUAGAUAGCAUUCAUGUUUUUUGGAGAAAGUUAAGCCUUGAGAAUGAAUUGGAGGAUGAAGAAUCUUUAUCAGAUUAUGACUUUUUAGAAGAGUUAGAAGCAAUGAAAGCGUACAUGAAGAAACACGAUAUUGUAAGUCAAUGGAUAUUCAGGGAUAAGGUGCGUGAAGUUGUAUUUCCACAUACAACAUCAAUACUUGCACCACCAGAGAAGGUGAGAACCAAGGGAGCAAGUAAAAAGAAAAAAGAAUUUGAUAUUCCUCGUGAUCCUUCAUAUUGGGAGUAUGUUGAUGCCUCUCAAGAAUCUGCAAAGCAACCAUCUCAACGUUUUGCACGGCAACCAUCUCAUUCAUCACAGUAGGGUGUAAACACUAUAUCCUCGAGCAACAACGCAUCAAGUCUCUGACGAUAUGCCAACAAUCCACCUUCAACAACAUGUUUUGCAGUCCACCUACAUGUUCUUGGAAGAUGUGUAGGAACCGCUCCUCUAUCACCCCGCUUACAGAUCCUAGGGAAGUGUUCAUAAAUCCAACACUGCAACAUAAUUAACAUCAUAAAAUAACAUAACGUAAUAAUUAAAUUAAUAAUUAAAUUAAUAAUUAAAUAAUUAAAUGACACAACUUAAUAUAAAUGAUAUAUCUGUAGUAGGGUCAUGUAACCUCUUACCUGUCGAGUGUCGUGGACAGCUCCAUCUCUCAGAUUGUCAUAAAGGAAAACCAAUGCCGCGGAAGCCCACGAGUAGUCCCGACAACGAUAUAAAUCAAUAAAAAGAGUAAUGUAUUUCACCUCAACACGUGUAUGUGUUUUAUCAGCGAAAAUAGUGCAGCCAACUAAAUGCAACAGAUACGUUCUAGCCGCACACUCAAACUAGUUAGUUUGAAUGAGACAACUAUAUAAAUCACGCAACCAUUUCAAUCUAUAUUGGGCACAUUUGUUAUAACUAAUCUCAGCACAUGCUUCCUCCCAUGUUGCACUUAAGUACUCAUGUGCAGCUCUUGCAGCAUUAUUAGUGUUCAUAUUCACAGGUGCAUCAAAAAAUUUACCAUGUGGUGAGAUGUGAAGAAGAGUCGCGACGUCGUCUAAAGUGAUAGUCAUCUCUCCAAAUGGCAGAUGAAAUGAGUUGGUCUCUUUGUGCCAUAUUUCAACAAAUACGGAUAUCAGACCAGCAUCAGCCAUAGUGAGGUAGCCUGAAGAUAGAUGCAUCAGCCCAGAUUCCUGAAUCCAAUGGUCUAAAAGAUCUGGCAGAGGAACUUCGGCAAACUUCUUCAAUUUCAAUCCGUGAGUAAUAACUUUCAAUGAUCCACGAUCCUACAAGUAAUUACAGAACAAUUAAUUAAUUAAAUAAACUUAAACAUAAAUAUAAUUAAACAUAUAUAUAAAUAUACAAUUAAUUAAAUAAAAUUAAAAUAAAUAUAAUUAAACAUAUAUAUAAAUAUACAAUUAAUUAAAUAAACUUAAAAAUAAAUAUAAUUAAACAUAUAUAUAAAUAUAAAAUUAAUUAAAUAAACUUAAAAAUAAAUAUAAUUAAACAUAUAUAUAAAUAUACAAUUAAUUAAAUAAACUUAAAAAUAAAUAUAAUUAAACAUUUAUAUUAAUAUACAAUUAAUUAAAUAAACUUAAAAAUAAAUAUAAUUAAACAUAUAUAUAUAUAAAUAUACAAUUAAUUAAAUAAACUUAAAAAUAAAUAUAAUUAAACAUUUAUAUUAAUAUACAAUUAAUUAAAUAAACUUAAACAUAAAUAAACAAAUAAUUAAAUAUAAUUAAAAAUAAAUUAACAUAUACCUCUCCUUCCCAUAGGCUCCGAGCCAAGUGACGCUCAUAUUGUGUCAACACACGUGCACCAUCGGUCCUCCGGGAAAUCCGGUUUGCUGAUCCAAAUCAUCAAUAUCACAAGGAUCAUCAAACUCAUCAGCAUGUGCAGAAGCAUCAUGAAUAUCAUCAGCUGCCUGCUCCAUCUGUGGAGGCUGAGGGACAUCCUCCUCCAUAUGUGCAUGCUCAGUAGACUCAACAUCAUCAUCCUGGACCUCCUCUUGUCUUCGACGAUGCUGCCUAAUUGGACGAUUUGCUUCGUUGCGUCUUCUGUUUGAUAUUGUUGGUGGAAUUCUCUCUACACCAUCACCUCUGUCACCUAUCAAGUUGCGACAAAACACAUCUCUCAUUCUAGGCACUGCAAUAUAUCAAUAUAUCAGUAUUAAAAACAAAUGGAAAAAUAUUUAAAAAAAACCAAAAAUUCAUUUCGGAAGUUUCACUGGAUAUGAAACUUUCGAUAUGUUUCGAAACUUUGCAUGCAUCUCAAAGUUUCGAAACCUGUUUUUUCGAAACUUUCAGAAUGUUCAAAGAUUUUACGCUUCGAAACUUUUGCAUUGCUCAAAACUUUUGAAAGUUCAUAUUUCGAAACUUUCGUAUUGCUCAAAACUUUCGAAAGUUUGAACUUCAAAAGUUUCAAGUUUAACGAAAGUUUUGAAAGUUUGAUAUUUUCUGAAAAAACUAUGUUUUCGAAACUUUCAUAUUCAAGAAUGUGUUCCGGAACCAGAGCUAAUUCAAGAAUGUCAAGAAUGUGUUUCAGAAUACUUUUGUUAUCGUAACUAAGAUCUGUCUUCGAUGUUGAUAUGAUCUUUCUAUCAAGAUAAGAUUGCUAGGCUUUUCUUUUGACCAAGAGAACGAGCUAGACAAAAAAGGUACCACCGAAAGAAGGUCGACCUCACCGCCUUUGCCCACGUCAACCUCUCAAUCCACUUCCAAUCAUAACAGUGCACAACAGGGAUGAGCUGUCCGAUGCCAUUUUAAGCAAUGGUGCUUACUUUAAGGCAAAAGUUCCUCAUGGUGUUGCCGGUUGCCGGUCGCCGAUCACUCAUUCUCGCCAUCAUGAAGCGUCGCAUUGCGCUUGUCCGGAUUCCUUGAAGCAAGCAAGUUUGAUCACAGAUGUUAGUAUUGUAAUUAGUGAAAAUGAUGAAGUCUCUGUUUCUUUUUUAUUGUUUGAGUCUGUUUAUGGGUUAGUGUGGCCAUGGAGUCUAUAAUAUGUGUGGGAAAGUAAUGUGUGUCUAUGUUUUUUUUUAUUGUUUGAGUCUGUUUAUGAGUUAGUGUGGCCAUGGAGUCUAUAAUAUGUGUGGGAAAAUAAUGUGUGUCUCUGUUUCUUUUUUAUUGUUUGAGUCAUGUGUUGAGUCAUGUUUAUGGGUUAUUAUGUAUGGGUGUCAUGUAAGCAUAUUUGAUUAGUUAUUAAUAUAAUGUUUAAAUAUUGUGUGUAAACUUGUUUGGUAAGCCUAAGAGUUCACUGAGAUAUUUCAAAUUUCUUGUGUUCUGUUCUUAUCGUUUUACUGCAUCAAAUUCUACACAUAAUUGUUCAUUCAUUUUGUUCUUGCUUUUAAAAGCUCAAUAUUUGUUAAUUAACUUUAAAUCAUUUAUUUGAUUACUAAAAAAGAUGAAUAAUCAUUUGAUUUGUGGUAAUUUCUGAAGAUUAGCCCAGCAAAUAGACAUAUUCUAGAUUUGCCUUCACUGAAAUUUCUUUACCUUGGAAUAGGACUUACAUGGAAAUUUCUUUAACUCAGUGUAAAUUGUUUUGAAAAUCUCAGUGUAAAUUGUUUUGUUAAAUUGACAUUAAUUAUGAAUGAGUUUGGUUGUGUAAUAUAAGCCUAAGAGUCCAUUUACUCAACAUUUUUAAUUUAACAUAACCUUUUUUUGUAUGUAUUUAUGAAACUGUCAUUAAUCAAAAUAGCUUCUCUGUGUUUUUCUGGGAAUGCAUAUUCACUCACUGACUCUACAUUUUUAAUUUGAUACUAUAUAAGGAAUACUGCUCUGCUUUGAUUCACGUCGUUCUCAUAGAAAAUUUGGUUUAUUCCUCGUAUUAAAAUUGACGUAAUCUUCUUAAUAGCAUAUAUUUUCAUGAGAAUCAAGUCACAUUGAUCUCUCUACCUUCAUUCCUUCCUUCACGCGGAAAUGACCCGUAUCAUUACCCGUAGCAUAUAUUUAAUCAUUACCGUAUCAUUACCCGUAACAUAUAUUUAAUCAUUACCGUAUCAUUACCCGUAACAUAUAUUUAAUCAUUACCCGUAUCAUCAUUUUUAUUUUUAUCUAGAAAUGACCUAAUAGCCCCCAUAUAUACUUUGAGAUUUAUUCCCCCAUUCGUCACUCUUUAGUAAUUUUGAACUUUGUGAUUUGUAUAUUGAUUUUGAACUUUGUGAUUUGUCUAUUGAUUUUGAACUAUGCUUUUUUCUAUGUGCCGAGUUUGAAUCUAUCUUGUGAGUAUGCUCAUCAAUUUUUAAUUAUGACGCUAUGGUUCUAGUUUAUGGUGUGGUGCCUAUUUCUAAUCUCACAUGAAGUUUAAAGUUUGUCAACUUCAUUAUGAAUUCUUGAACACGAAGAAAAUGAUGUAUGUGGUGUGGCGCUGAAUAAACUUAGGGCAAUCAUACACAUUGGAAAAUAGUAGUUUGUCUAUUUGUUUAUGUUUUUGUAGUCACUGCUUUAAGUAAAUACUUCAAAAUGGUGCUUAAGUCUUUACGCAAAUUACGGAGCCUUUUAAUCUAUAUUCUCUUUUUCAUUAUCGGAAUAUUGCUCUUGAUAAAAACAAAUGUGUUAAGUUAUGUUCUUCCUUGUAUAUAAUUUUGAUUUUAUUAUGAUUGAUAUAGGAUUGAGGUAUCCAUUCUUCAGUUAAUGGGCUCGCUGAGUUUUGACAAAAUUUGACCAAAAAUAAGCUUUGACAAUCAAAGGGUUGCUGAGUGGGUCAUUGUUGUUUUCAAUCGCCUCCGUCAUCCUCCGUGUCACCGUCUUCAACAUCCUAAAUCUCAUACCAUUCAACAUCCUGCAUCCAUGGGGAAGAAAGGAGGAGGCAAAAAACCGCCAAAAUCAGAAAUAAGGUCUCAAAACCCUGUUACUUUGAGGGAAGAAGCAACUGGAAAAAUAAAAAAGAAGCCAAUGACUAACACCAAGUCACAUUUGAGAAUUGAACACUUAAAAAAGCUUGCAGUGUGGGCCACCACCGACCCUCACAUACCGUCUUUGGGAGCCUUCUACAGGCAGCAUUUGGCCACCGUUUCAGAGGCUGCCGGAGUACCUCCUGAUCCUUCUUUAAUCACUUGCCAAAGGUUUGCGUUUUUACGUAGAGUUUCGUUUUGCUUUUUCUAUCCUUAUUUAGUUUUCCUCUUGUGUGUUUCAAUGCCAUUAUUAGGUUUUAGUUGUCACUUUAUGAAGCACCAACAUAGACACUACCGCUAACAUGCCGAGACCGGGAAUGAUUUGAAAAAUUGAAUAUAACAUGUGUCGAUGUUGUGUUGGUGUGACACAUUUUCAAUAUGAAGUGUUGGUGCUAUAUACUUGUUUGGCUUACUUACCAUAUGUUUAGAAGUGUUUGAAUUAUUAUGGAUGAGGUAUUCUAUUGAUUCAUUUAUUAACAAUAUCAUUUGAUAGAAUCAAAGAUCAUGUACAUGAUAGCUCUUUGGGUAUUUGUAUUCUUACAAUUUAUGUGAGUUGUAUCUCGAUUCCAAACAAAAUUGAACUCAAUUAAUAUGAAUCUUGAUAUAUGUAUUGUUGAAUCAUUUGUUAACAAUAUAAUUUGAUAGAAUCAAAGAGCAUGUGUGAGACAAUUAUGCAGUUAUUUGUAUCUUUAGAUAUAUGCGAUGCAUGUGAGUCGUAUCUUAAAUUCAUAACAACACUGAACCUUAUUGCCACAACUCUUCGUAUUUAUUAUAGACACAAAUCUCAUCAUGAAUCAUGAUUCAUUUUGAUGAUUCUCAACUUGCCCAUGAACUUUGUGUAGUGAACCCCUAAUUUUGUCAUCUUUGUGUAGCGAACCCCUAUUUUUGUUAUCUUUGUGUAGCCAACAGCUUUUAUCUUGUUAUUUUGAUUUAUGACUUAAAUUUUGAAGCAUUUUUGCCUGUGCCAUUUGUUUGUGCUUAUAAUGAAGGAUUGUAUUUAUUAUGGACAGCUCAAGUAGCUUAAAAUUUUUUUUUACUAUCGUCUACAUUUGUUGAUUUGUUCAAAUAAUUUAUUAUAUGUUCUUCUUACGUUUUCUUUGCUAUUUGAUUGUUGGAAAUUUCGCAAGAUUCGUGAAAUAUGUUUAUCAUUCUCUACAGGUGCGAGACUGUUCUUCAUCCCGACUUUAAUUCAACUGUACGGAUUGAGAAGAAUAGAUCAAGGGUCAGGAAUAGGCACAAGAAGUCUGGCAACAUCGCUCAAAACAAUAUAGUGUACACGUGUCAUUUCUGUUCACAUUAGAAUCUCAAGAGAGGUACCCCUAAGGGACAUUUAAAAAAGAAUCAUCAUUUACAUCAAACAACAAUCACAUAUGAAUGGCUAAAGGAGCUAUAUAGAAAACAUAUAUCAAGACAUUACAUCAGUUUUUCGUUGAAAGACAUCUUUUUAAAGUAAGCUAAUUUCAUUAUUAAAAAAGUAACUUUUAAAAUAAUUUGUAUUCAAUGUUGGCAUGAAAAUAAUGGACGAAUUUUUUUGGUCAAAUUUACUUAUUGGUUUUUAUUUGGUCAAAUUCUUCUUCCUUUGACUUUUUCAAAAGUGAUCUUAUACUGUCAGCUCGGUAUAGUUUUCAGGUUGUUAGUAUAAUGUUGCCUAUGUGAGAUUUUUUAUUCCUUUUAUUUCAUAUUUUGCAUCUAUUGGAGAUGGUAGCAAAGGAAAGAAUUGUGUCACAUUAAUUGGGCACUAGGUUCUUUUGUCUAUUACAAAUAGCUCAAAAAUGAAUGUAUUUUCAAAAUAAACCCUAAACCUUAAAACGGAUAUUUAAAUCAAGAGUCACGUUUUUAAUCAAAAUUUGUCAAAUUCAAUAUGAUUUGAAUGUUUAAUAUUUGUUGAAAAAUAAAUUUGAGUUUUAUUUAUAAAAAAUUUAUUGUAUAAUUGUAAAAUAAUAAUUUGGAAGUGUUUAAAAAAUCAAAUCUCCGUUUUAGUACAUAAAGUGCGAUCCACAAAACAAAACAAAAAAUAUAUUGAAUCCAAUGAGUUGUAAAAGAAUUUAAGAUUUCACAUUAGAAAUUGAUUAUGGGAUUGAUUUGUAAAACAAACCAACAAUCUCACAACAAUUCAAUCGUUUAUAUAUUCAUGCAGAAAUCUAAUAUAUUAAUGAGAUUUUUUACUUGAUAUAUGGAUGAAUUUGUUUUGACAGUUUAUAAGAAAAUAUUUUUGUAUAUACUAACAUAGAUUUGUUUCAUAUUAAAGAAACUUUCUAAAAGAAAAAACUUAUAUUUAGAUUUAUUUUAAUUAUAAAUAAUUUGAGUUAUUAUCUUUUAAAAUAUUAACUCUAAUUUUCCACUAUGAAUAAAGGUUUAGAGAAUAAGAAAAGAUAAUGAAAACAGAGAGAAAUAAAAACAUAACUUUUUUUAUAAAAUUGGUGUGCGCUUCUUUCUUUUUUUUUUUUUUUUUUUUGUUGUUGUUGUUGGAUUUUUUAUACUAUACUAUAUAUAACAUACAGCUAGCCUGAAUGCACCUGAUUAUUUAAGAAUUUUUUUUUUGGUGUUUUUCUUUUUAUAAUUAUUUUAAUCUUCAUGUGUCUAUUUUCUUUUCAUCAAUCACUACCUUAAUUUUUCAUUGGUUUUUUCAAGUUAAUUCAAUUGUGUUAAUUAUAUAGCAUUACUAUUUAUUGUGUUUAUAAUUUUUGUACUAUUUCUUCCGUUUUAUUACUUUCCUAUUGAAGUUAAUAUUUUUAUUACUGCUCAUUAAAAAUGUAAAUAUAUUAUAUAUGACAGAUCUAAUUCAUGACACUGCUUGUAUAACAUUUAAAAUUUUAAACACAAGGUAUAAUGGAUUUUCUGAAAUAUUAAAAGCUAAGAUUUUGUAAAAAAAAAAAAGAAACUAAUUUGAUAAAUAAAACAUUUUUUUAUUAUUAAAUUCAACCACAUGGAAUAGUGGAGUUAUUACAACCCGUUUAUGUCUCAGUCCAGACUCCCCUGCAUUGGAUCUUAUAGUCAGUUUUAUUUAUUUAUUUGUACAUCUCUAUCUACACCCCUAUAUUUAUAAUUAAUAAAAAAGUAUAAAUGGUAUCAACAAUAAACUAAAAAAUUCUAGACUAUUUUUUCUCUCAAAUUCACUCCGACCAAUUACUUGUCAUUUGAAUUGAUCAAAACCUCUCUCCCACACAAAAUUAACCACUUAAUCCAUUUUAGCAUUAACUUUGUCGAUUGUGACUUCGUUUCAUCACAAAGAGUUGGUUUUCUUUCUUUGGGUGAACUGUUUUUGGCUGAUUUUGAUCACCAUGUUUGUUGUCUCAAAAAAGUAGCGUUAUUUUUGAAUUUUUCUCGUCGAAACCUUCAAGAGACAUUACUCAUUUACGUUUUUCAAUGAAGUUGACAAGAGAUCCUUCCGGUUUGGUGAGACUUUUCUAUGUUUUUUUUUUCGUCGUUUUGACUCUAUUUUUUGCUCUUAAAAUUAUUAAUAAUUAUUUGACAUUGAUUUUAUGCUCCGCAUGAUUAAUCAGUCGAGUCUCGACAAUUUUGGGAACUCAAUGUUUAUUCAGAUUUGUCCGAUAUAUGUUGUCGAUCUGCAUUUGUUGUUAAAAAAUACUCAUUGAUUUAUAUGUUUGACAAAUAGUCGAAGUAUAAAAUUAAGUGAGUGAGCGUUUAAAUUUAUACGUAUAAUAUAUUAUGAGAUAACAAAAAAAAUCUUAGUUACCAACGAUUCGUUGAAACUCGCUAUAAAUGUAAAUAAAUCCAACUAUAUUAUUACUUAAAUUUUCUUGUUUUCAAAAUAAAAAAAUGAGAGAAUUAAUUUCAUUAAUGGUAUAAAUAUAAUAAAUACAACUCUAUUAUUACUUAUUCUUUCUUGCAAGACACUAACAUAUACCGAAUGUGUUGUACAUAUUUUUUAUUAAUGUUUUUUUUUAUAAUUAAUUUCGUUAACUUCUUUUUUCUGUCUAAACAUUGGUCGACCGAUUUUAUCAAUACGUGUCAAUGCUCUUCAAACACUAACAAUAAGUAGCAGCUUGAGUUAGAUGUUGAACUCGCAAGUGUUUGCUAGUGUUGCUCAAUUGCCAACUCAUUGUCAUCAUCAUUUUAAUUGAGUCAGUGUGUAUGUCUAAUGUGAUAUGAAUAACUAAGUGUGUCUUUUUAUUUUAUUUUUCUUUUUAUGGUGUGUGUAAAUAUAUUCGGGGAAAAUUAAUUGAAUCCAUUUUUACGUGUCUUGUGUGAUAUGAAGAAUUAAAUGACUCAAUAUGAAGUCUUAUUUUUUUGUUUUCUCAACUAAAUCCGUUUUCUCUUCUUCCUCGUUUGUAUGUCUCAAAUGUCAUCCAUCUCAAGGUGCAUCUUCUCUCUAAUUCAGUAUCUGUUCAAAAUCAAAUAAAUUUAUAAAAUAAAUUUUAAACACUAGAAUAUAAAAGUGUUUCAAACAUGUCUUAAGUGUUUUAAUCAGUAUAAAAAAGAAUUAGUAAACUAAUUUGGGUAUUGCAAAGUUGUUUCUUUGAUUAUAAUGUCUACAAAAACAUUUCUAAGACUAUUUUCAAUUUUUUUAUCAAAAUUAAAAAAUCAAACGAGAUGAAGCAUGUUGUAUACUAUCUUAAUACAAACAUUAUGAAAAUGAAAUAAUUAAUACUCUAGUUAGAAAUGGUGAAAAGUCCAAACUACUAGACCUAACACUAUUGUCCAAAAUACCAACAUCAAAUUCUAAACACUAGUUUUCCAUUUUUAUGAAACAAUGCCAAACCUCAUUGUCCUUCAGCUAGGUGUGGGACCAUCACUAUAUAAAUAAGAAUAGAUCGAUAUCAUAAUAUCAUCACUUUGUUAAUUACUUAUAAUUACAAUUUACAAAAGAUACAAAAAAGCUAUAACAUGACCUGAAUUGAAAAUGACAAUAGGAUAUAAUAGAUCAAGUUGUAGUACUAGAUAUGAUAAUAACUUGCUCAUCCUGAUUCAUGCAAAGUGACACAUGUUGCCAACUCAAUUCACAUUCAUUUACUCACACUCACACAGAAACCAUAAUAAAACACUUGAAACUCAUGCCCAAAAGCCAAGCAUUCCAAUAAAUCAUCAAUUUUGUUCCUAAAUUACUAUUUUUCUCUUUAAUUAGUUUUUUUAAUUGACGAAAUAGUAAAAAUUCAUAGGAAAUGUAACCAAACUCCUAUCGGCCAACACGUCGACGGAGAAAAAAUCAUAAAUUGUAUCAAAAACAUAAUCGAUCUGAGAAGAAGAAUGACAGUUUAAAUUUAACAAAGAUAUCUACUAUUUGAUUUACUUCACGACGACAUUAGAUAAUUUAAAUUAAUUUAAAUUUGCAAACAUCUUUUUUAUACGAGUGGCAAGACAAUAACAUAAAUAUCUAUGAGAACUAUUUUUUAAAUUUAAGGACGUUGCUACUUGAGAAUAUGAAAUAUUACUAUUAUUGUUAUAUAUCAAAAUUUUGUAUAUUGUAUUAAAUGAUCAUAUACUUGCUAAUACUUUUAAUAAUUUAAGAAUAUUGAUCUAUAUAAUUUCAUAUGUAUAUAUAGGCUUUACGGUCAAAGUGAGUUUAAUAAGCUACCAUCCCAAUGGCAGGCCUCCAGGCCAAGUGAUGAAGGCUCUAAUAUUUUUUAUAAUAUAUAUUCAAUGAGGGUGAAUAAAUAUAUAUUUUUUUUUUGUUAGAGAUAUUUUUAAUUCUUAGAAAAUUAAACUUUUAAGUUUAGUUUUUUAAAAAAAUUUAUUCACUUUUAGUCUUUAUUUUGAUUUUAUAGAGAGUCAACAUGUAUUAAAUUUUUCCUACUUUUAUUUCAAAUAAUAAAUGUUGCUUGUACAUAUUUUUUUGAGAGGUUUUUAGUCCAUUUUUUACCCAAUCUCUUUGUAUCAUAAAAGAAAAACACAUGUAUUAAAUUACUAAGAUGUAAUACAAAUAAAUGGAUUAACAUUUUGAAAGUUAACCAUUGGAUUAACACCAUAUUUUUCCUUUUAUCAAAGUUAGUUUUCAUCUUAUCUUUUUAAUUAAUGUAUUUGAUUCUCUUUCUCUUCUUCUCUUUAUCUCUCUCGCAUAUAUGUCUCUCUCAAAACCUAAAAUCCUAACCACCACUCUAUGUACAUUUUCGGCCACCACUAGUCUACAAUACCCUACAUUCAAUUUCACAUUUUUAAGUGUAAAAGAUUGAACGUCAUCAUUCUUUCUCUCAUCACCGGUUCUAGUAUUAAAUGUGUAAGUUCAAUUGCUUAUUUUAUUUUAUUUUACUAUAAUAUUAUUUUUUUUAUAAUUACUUUUCUUUAUCAUUAUAUUUCUUCUCAUUUAUUGAUCGUUCUCAUUUAUCAUCUCUAUUUUUUAUUUUCAAGAAUAUAUAUUUUAUGAUUUUUUUUACACACGUCAGAAGUGUAUGUAUUUUGAUAGAAUACUAAUAUAAUUAAUAUUUAAAACAUAUUGUAAAUAUUUUGUAUGAAAUUUGAUGUGUUUACGUGAAAAAAAAAAAAAAUUUAUAAUUAGAUGAAAUCAUCUAAUUUUGAGUUUGUCCGUUACUCUAUCAAUGAGAUGAAAACAGUGUGGGGGUGGGUCAAAUAAUACUUCUCCACAACGGUCAUCAAUAUUUAUGAAUAUUUAUGGGAUACCUUGUUUUCAGAUAAAUUAGUGAAUAUUUAGAAUUCAACAGACACGCAAAAAGAAAAUUAUCAAACUAUAUAAAAUUUUACUGUAUAUUAUAUUAAUAUUGUAUAAUUGUAUAUAUACUUUCUCUCCCUCUAUAUCUCUCUUCUUCUCUCUCAAUCUAUUAUAUUAUUGGUAACUUAAAGUGGUAUUCUUCACCUUCAUUCAAUAGGUAUCAAUUUAGCAUUAUUGUGGAUAAUUUCACUAAAAUCUACAAGUACAGGUAUAUUUUUACUUCCCUAACUUCAUUCGUAGAUCCACUCAGAAAAAAAAACUUAUCCAUUCAUAUUUUCGUCAUGCACCAAGACCAUAUAUGUCGAAGCAAUAAUGUGAAUUUUUAAUUUUCGACUUAGAGACACUAAUUCUGUUUGGCAAGUAUAAACCGUUGAUUUAUAGCUAAUAAGCUGGCAAGAUUUAAAUAUAAAAUUUUGUUUAUAAAACACAUAUAUUAGAUAAAGAAUGAAAAUAAUUUUAAAAUAGGUUUUUAUCUAAAAAAAACAUUUAAUGGUAUUACAUAAAUUAGAUUAUUUAAAAUUAGAGAACUUGAGCUGAGAGAUGUAUUAAUAAAUAUUCAUUAAAAAAGUCAUUACAUCGAUGACGAUAAUUAAAUCCACAAUUUUAUUAGUAUAAAUCAACUAUUUAUCAAUUAAACGAACUUUGUUAUUUUUAUUUUUGUUCAUUGUUAAUUAGACGGUGGUAAAACAUAAAUUACAAAUGCAAAUUAUGUUUUAAAUUUACUCAUUUAUAUAUUUAACUUUACUCAUUAUGUUCAUCCUAUGUGGUUUAAAUGUUGGUAACAUCUACCGUGAACCAAUCUAACCACACAUAUAUUUUGGUAAAUAUAUAGCUCUAGUAUUUGGAUAUUGCGAAGUGAGAACAAGUGUGAUUUUUCUUGUGUAUUUACACAUGGAACCAAAUAAAAGUAAAAUCUUAUAAUAUUUUUUUGGUGACAAAAUAUUUGCUUCUUCUUUGAAUCUGAAUAAUAAGAAUAUUUAGAAUUAAAACUCUUGUGAGAAAAAGUAUUACGGUCCAUAAUAUUAAUCUCUAUAGUUAGAUGCAAAUAAUUUAUGCAAAAAAAUCAUUUUUUCUUAAUCAAGAAAAAUAAAUACAAUAUUAGACACACUUAUUAUUUUGUAUCCAGUCGAUUUGCACAUUUCUUUCAGAGCUAUAUUAAGAAUUAAAUCCAUGUGUUAUUUUUUUGGUUGGGCAGUAUAGAAACAUUUUAUAUGUUGAUAAAAUGGACAUAAAAUUGAAGUUUUUUUAGGCAAUAAAUUGUGAGAUUUUAUUCUUUUUUUUUAUUAAAAGAUUUAUUCUUUUCAAUUGCUUAAUAAUGCAAUCUUUAAAACAUUUCAUUCGAUUCCAGGUAAAAUAGACAAUGUAAUGAAGGGUAUAAAAAUAUUACUAAAUAAGUCUUGAAUAAAUAAACAAUGGGUCAUAUUUCUUUCAAACUUGAAUGGUGACUAUGGUUGCACCAAAGGCUCAGUAUCUUUGGAUAUAAAAGAAAAGUUUAAUUUGAUACAGUUAGAUCCAAAGAAAUUGAUACAAAGGUGUCAGAGUCACAAUCUGGUCAACAUUGAAUUUUAAAACAAACUUUAAAUAAAAAUCUUGAUAAAAUGAAAUAGAGCAUUUUAACAUUAACAAUAAUUAAUUAUCAUAAUUUUAUUUAAAUUCUACAUUUUUAUUUUUGAAAAUACAAAGUAUUUUAAUUAAAUAUCAUUUGUUGUAUCUUUUUAUCUCUGUGAGAAUUUUUACUUGUUAUACUACUUAUACUUUUUUAGACCUAAAUAAAUACCAGUGUAAUUUGUAUCUAGUGUUAAAGUCAACAUCAACAAAGGUGUCGUGGUGUAGUUGGUUAUCACGUCAGUCUAACACACUGAAGGUCUCCGGUUCAAGUCCGGGCGACGCCAUAUAGUAUUAUGUUUUCUAAUUUUUCCUUUUAUAGUUUUUACUCUAACAUUUAUAUAAAAAAAAACAAUAUAAAGCCUCUUUAUACUGAAAUAUAUAUAAAUAAAUUAAAUCUGACACAACAAAUUGUUGCACAUGAAAAAGAUAGUUGAAAGUAGGGGUGGGCAAAAUUCAGUUAUGCUUGAAAGGGAGCACAACACAAAGAUGCUUUGGAAAGAAAUUGAUCAUUUUGCAUACCGUUUCCUUCAAUUCAAAUACCCCUGUCCUGUCCAUAUACUAGAUGGCACCAUUAUGGUCCGAUAAAUAUAAACCAUUCAUAUAAUAAUAAAAAAUGUAACGGUUCAAGAUUCGCGCGCAACUUUUUUUAUUUGUUAUCUGAUUCAACUUAGGUAAUCCAAUUAAACCAUAAUUCAGAAGUCUUAGUUUGAUCUUUAGUUAAGUUUUUAAAACAUUACUAGCAACAAGUAUAACAAGUGGAGUAUAAUUGAAAGGAGUGCAAAUCCGACAUAUACCGAUAACAUAAAGAAAUGUAAGAGAAAAUGCAUUAUAUCAUUGAUUCAUUGUUAUAAAUUUCUUUCUAAAAAAUAUUAAUGAAAAAAAAUUAUGCACUUUUAGUGUAAUCCAAUUUGACAUUGAUAGUUAAUAAUAAUGGUUGAUUUUAUCAUAUCACUAUAUAAUUGUAAAUGUAAUUAUAAAAUAAUUCUACAAUCAACGAUUUGUGUUAUGUUUACACUAACAUUACAAGUCAUUAAACUUAAAAAAUUAACAUACAGCGAAAUCAUUCAACCACACCUCUACUAUGAAUCUACACCCCCAUUUUUGUUAUCCACAUCACUCAAUAUUGCUAGCUACCCACACCUCCAUUUUUGCUAUCCACACCCCUCAAUUUUUUUGUAAAAAUGAAAUACCUAAAUUGGUCUUGCCUAUUUAUAACAUUUUUAACUCUAACCUCUUAUUUUAUCUUCAUCUUCAAUCAUCCUCAUUGUCUAUCAUUUAAAUCAGGUUUGCAUCAAUUGUUGUUCUUGUUCUUGUUUUUUUACAAUGUGUAGUUGUUGUUCUUGUUCCCAUGAAACUAUAUUUUUUCGUAAACCCAGAAACCUAUGUGAACUAAGUUCACGUACGUGAACUCAGUUGCGUAUGCAAACUAACGCUGCCCAGAAACCUACAUGAACUGAGUUUGAGUACGCAAACUCAGUUUGCGUAAAACCUACGUGAACUAUAUUCACGUAUGUGAACUCAAUUCACGUAGGUUCUAUGCAUACUUGGUUCAUGUACGUGAACUCAGUUCACGUAUGUUUUACGCAGACUGAGUUUUUUGGGCAGAGUGAGUUUGUGUAAGUGAACAAAUAUUGUGUCGCAACAUACUUGAUUGUGUUUUAAUUUUUAUUAUGAUAUGAUUAUGCAAAAAUGGUGCCACUAUGUUUACUGAUAGAGCAUGUUGAGUUAUAAUUAAUGAUACUGUUAGUGAUGAGGGUACUAUUGGUAAGGGUCAUCGUGUUAGACUAACCGCUUCUGCACGAGCUCAGAGUCUUGAGAAGCAACAUGAAGUGUAGAGGGAGAGGCGAACACAACGUAAACAAUGACGAUUACAACAUCAACAAAAGGCCCAACAGAAAGGGGAGACCCAACAGGAAGAGCAAACACAACAUCAGGCCCAACCAUAGCACCUAGAUAAACCUCCACAAACCGAUGGAUAUCCUGGUGGUCUGGUUGACAAGUACGCUCUUAUGACAUUUGGUGAUUAUGUGGCCACUCGACUUUGGGAUGAAGUGGUAAUUUUCUCGAUCAUAUUAAAUUUUUAAUAGUCGUUGUCAUAAUGUGUUUUAACUUACAUUUUUUCGUUUCUUUUGUUUUAGGAUCGCGGGGGAGCUAAGGGUACUUGAAGUUGGCUACUUGAAGUAUAUCAUCAGCGAUAUCGUGAUCAGUAUUGGGAGAUGGCUGCAAGGACGUUUCUACUAUUUUUAGUUGGUUGCACACUUUUCAGCGAUAAGAGUACCUUUGCAGUUAGCGUUGUCUACUUAGAGUGCUUUUGAGACCUCAACUCAUGUGGGGGAUAUGCAUGGAGGUGCUGAAAAUCUCGACGAAGUUAAUAUGCAUUAGACCAGAACAAUUUAUGGGUAUCUGACACUUUUACAGGUAAACUCAAUGGUUGUUUAUUGUGUUGAUAUGUUAUUAAUUCUAAAUUAAUGAUACUAUUAAUUCUAAACUAAUUAUAUGUGUUGAAGCUUGGAUCUAUGAGUAUUUCUCAACUUUAUGUGUAGAUUGUUGUAGACUUUGACCUAGAUAUAUUGAGGCCAAUCCUAUAGCACUUCGAUGGAAGCCGAAGAUGGAUAAGAUUUGAUUCUUCCAUUUAGGAAAUAAGCACAAUAAAUUGACUGCUUUUGAAAAAAGAUAUUGAAUUACGUUCAUCAAAGCAAGGUCUCUAUCAGUAACGACGACUUGAACUUCACCACUUGUAAUGUGUUCUUUCAACAUUUGUAGUGCCCACAUGAAGUUGUCAGCAUGCUCAAACUUUAGAUAUGCAAAUGCCACACAAAAUGUCAUUUCAGUAGAAGUAACACCAAUAAUCUCAAGUAACGACAUUCGAUAUCUACAAGUCUUGUAUGUGUUAUCCAUAAUCAAUAUUAUGUGAAAAUUAUUUACACGAGUGAUAACAUUUGGAUAGGUCCGGGAUAUGUCCCUCAACUCAUCUAAAUCAUCAACGUAUUUGUCGCGUUCCAUCAAUGUCAUUAGAUAUUGCAUUUAUGUUCUAUUACCUCUAAGUGAUGAACGAUAUGUUUGAUGUGCAUUGUAAACUUGUUUGAUUGUCAUUAAAGUUUCAAUAUUAUGAUCCUUUAAUGUGAUCAAUAUCAUGAUACUUAAUUGAGAUCACGUAUACAUGAAUUAUGAUCAUGUAUGUGUACCUUGUAACAUCCCACUUUUUCAAGAUAUUAACUAACAAAAUUCUAAACGUAAAGAUACAUAUUCUUUUAUUUAUUUAUUUAUUUAUUUAUAAGAUUAUCUUAAAUACUCGUUUACUUUAAAACUAAUUAAUAAAUUUUUCAAUUGUAUUUCAAAAUAAGGUUAAUAUGUUGGAGGGCUAUUAGGUAAUUUCUAGAUAAGAAUAAAAAUGAUGAUGUGGGUAAUCAUUAAGAUUAUUGUUGUUGGAAGAGCAGUAUUCCUAUGAGAACGGCGUGAAUCAAAGCAGAGCAGUAUGCCUUAUAUAGUAUCAAAUUAAUAUAAUAGAAUUAAAUACCUAUUGUUAUUAUUAUUGUUAUUAUAUAAUUAAAUUUUAUAAUGUGAAUUGAAUUUUAAAUUUAUUAAUCUUAAAUUUAUUAAUCUUAAUUUAAGCAUAGCAUGUAUAUUUUCAGAAUUAAGACAGUCAAAUCUCUAUACCUUCCUUCACGCGGAAGAAUAUGAGUGGGCGAUGAGUAGUAUAUAUACAUAGUUAUCCAUUAGCUUUUUACACUCAAUACACUAAACACAUUACUGCUGAAAAUAAUGGCUCCUCCUUCAUACACUGCUCAUGUCAGCACCGAUGCAAAAUUUGUUGAUGCCUUUGACCGACUUGUUCGAAGUGGGAUAAAACCCAAAGUUAGGUUCGUUGUUGGAAGAGAAAUCAGCUCUGCUUGUUACGACUACAUAUUUGAGCUGAUUGAAAACAACAAUGUGGACAAGGAUCGUAGAGAUAGGAUUGCUAAUCCACGUCCUGAGCAUCGCCCACGUCAACCUCCCAAUCCACUUCCAAUCAUAACAGUGCACAACAGGGAGGAGUUGUCCGAUGUCAUCUUAAGCAAUGGUGCUUACUUCAAGGCACAAGUUCCUCAUGGUGUUGUCGAUCGCAAGACCACUCAAUCUCGCCAUCAUGAAGUGUGACAUUUCGAUAAUGAAUACUAUAUAAAUGAGAUAACCCUUAAACAUAUUGUCUUAAAAUGUGAUGUUCAACCCACAUAUGUGAUUGCUCUUAGUCCAAUGUGAUGAUCCCCAACCCCUUAUGACCAACACAGAUGAAUAAAAGGAGCACAAAGAACCCAUCCACUUUUUAUUAAUCCUUAAUGUAAUUUGACAGGGCAUUUAAAAGUUCAUCAACAAAAUUAAAACAACUCACAAACAUAAAACAAGCAGCAUUGAAAAAGUUUACAAAUUAUAAAACAAAUAAUUUAAACAAACAAGAUGUAGGCACAUGUGAGAAUGUAAACUAAUCAGAAGACUUUUGGGACAUUUUUUUAGAUCCUUGGAAACUUGGUCCAUGGUUGGGCGAGAAGACUUCUACGGCCAAACACUUGGUGUUUUACUACCAAAAAAUAAAUCGUAGUUGAUCAUAACUUUGGACACUUGUGGAAAACUCACUCAACAAGUCUAACACUAGUACAAAAGUAUUUUGGAGCCUCCAAAUGCAUGUUAUUGUACUUCCUCGCAUUUCUCAUACUAGGUUGGUCUGCGACAUUAUUCGCUCAAGUAACACUAUAUGUGACAUCAUGUCAAAUGUAAGGAUCGUCUCCAAAUAACAAACACAGAGCAAAUAUACAUGCAUAUAUAGUUGUUAUAGUAAAAAUAUAAAUAAAUCAUAUAUUUCAUUUAACAGUAAAAAUCACAAAGCACAAAAGAUACAAAUCAACCAAAAUGCAAAAAUCCUAUUGUUGGGCUAUAUGUCAAUGCAUUAUUCCAGAAUAUCACCAUCUUGUAAGACAAAGAGCCCACCAUUGAACAGUGUCUCACUGUUGAACUUGUCCCACCAUUGGACAAAUGUUCUACAGAGUUUCAUGUUCAGUAUUCCAUCGUUGUGUAUUUUUCUAAAUCACGUUGCCUUUUGCGAUGAACUGUCGUCACAUACUUGUGACUAGGUUCAUGCCACCAAUGCAUGCAUGAAUGUCAUCAUCUUAGUUACAAAAUAUAUCACUCAACCAGAAUGUCCAAAACCAAAUUGGUUUAGACACAAAUUCAUCACCUCGAAUAACCACAAAAUGUCAAGCACAACCAUUAUAACAACAUGUCAUAUAACGUUUAUUUUUCACAAUUUGAACAUGUCAAAUGCAACCAUUAUAACAACGAAUCAUAUAACAUUUAUUUUGAAGAUAAAACACAAACAUAACCAAUACAUAACAUCACCGUUCAUUUAUAUCACAUAUAAUUCACGUAGGAAAGCGAAUGAGGUGAGACCCUUACCGUUAUGAGUCUCGUUAUUAAGAUUUCUAAGUAGCUGUAUUUGCUCCAAAAACAUUACACCUUCACAAAUUAAUUUACUAUCCACUUGUAAUGUGUUCUUUCAACAUUUGUAGUGCCCACAUGAAGUUGUCAGCAUGCUCAAACUUUAGAUAUGAAAAUGCCACACAAAAUGUCAUUUCAGUAGAAGUAACACAAAUAAUCUCAAGUAACGACAUUCGAUAUCUACAAGUCUUGUAUGUGUUAUCCUUAAUCAAUAUUAUGUGAAAAUUAUUUACACGAGUGAUAACAUUUGGAUAGGUCCAGGAUAUGUCCCUCAACUCAUCUAAAUCAUCAACGUAUUUGUCGCGUUCCAUCAAUGUCAUUAGAUAUUGGAUUUAUGUUCUAUUACCUCUAAGUGAUGAACGAUAUGUUUGAUGUGCAUUGUAAACUUGUUUGAUUGACAUUAAAGUUUCAAUAUUAUGAUCAUUUAAUGUGAUCAAUAUCAUGAUACUUAAUUGAGAUCACGUAUACAUGAAUUGUGAUCAUGUAUGUGUACCUUGUAACAUCCCACUUUUUCAAGAUAUUAACUAACAAAAUUCUAAACGUAAAGAUACAUAUUCUUUUAUUUAUUUAUUUAUUUAUUUAUUUAUAAGAUUAUCUUAAAUACUCGUUUACUUUAAAACCAAUUAAUAAAUUUUUCAAUUGUAUUUCAAAAAUAAUGAAUUAGAGCAUUUGCAAUUACAAAAUAAGGUUAAUAUGUUGGAGGGCUAUUAGGUAAUUUCUAGAUAAGAAUAAAAAUGAUGAUGUGGGUAAUCAUUAAAAUUAUUGUUGUUGGAAGAGCAGUAUUCCUAUGAGAACGGCGUGAAUCAAAGCAGAGCAGUAUGCCUUAUAUAGUAUCAAAUUAAUAUUAUAGAAUUAAAUACCUAUUGUUAUUAUUAUUGUUAUUGUAUAAUUAAAUUUUAUAAUGUGAAUUGAAUUUUAAAUUUAUUAAUCUUAAAUUUAUUAAUCUUAAUUUAAGCAUAGCAUGUAUAUUUUCAGAAUUAAGACAGUCAAAUCUCUAUACCUUCCUUCACGCUGAAGAAUAUGAGUGGGCGAUGAGUAGUAUAUAUACAUAGUUAUCCAUAAGCUUUUUACACUCAAUACACUAAACACAUUACUGUUGAAAAAAGUGGCUCCUCCUUCAUACACUGUUCAUGUCAGCACCGAUGCAAAAUUUGUUGAUGCCUUUGACCGACUUGUUCGAAGUGGGAUAAAACCCAAAGUUUGGUUCGUUGUUGGAAGAGAAAUCAGCUCUGCUUGUUACGACUACAUGUUUGAGCUGAUUGAAAACAACAAUGUGGACAAGGAUCGUAGAGAUAGGAUUGCUAAUCCACGUCCUGAGCAUCGCCCACGUCAACCUCCCAAUCCACUUCCAAUCAUAACAGUGCACAACAGGGAGGAGUUGUCCGAUGUCAUCUUAAGCAAUGGUGCUUACUUCAAGGCACAAGUUCCUCAUGGUGUUGCCGAUCGCAAGACCACUCAAUUGAAGUAACAAUGUCGAUUUACAAGAAAGGGGGGUUUGAAUUGUAAAUAUGCCUUUUAAAAAUUCCUAUUAAAACUUAAGAAAAUAACUCAAGAAUGAUCUUGGUUAUGAAACAGAAAACGGAGAACGUUCUUGGUUUAUGUUAUAAAACAGAGAACGUUCUUUAAUUAGCAGAAAAUCAGUUUAUAUUUUAUCUCAAAUGAUUAAUGCAGUAUAAUAAAGAAGGAGAAAGGAAAGAGAAUACCACACAAAGAUUUAUCCUGGUUCACCCAACGUGGGUUACGUCCAGUCCUCACACUGUGAGAUUUUCCACUUAGUGUUUAAAAUGAAGAACCUUCUUAAUCUUACAACACCUAGAAUAAAUCAACCUUGAUCUAUUUCUUUCUUAAUUACUUUCCACCCAGAAAGCAAUCACAACACCUAUCUAACCUUGAUAGGAAGCAAUCUUAAACAAACUAUAAAGAAACUCUUAUAGUUUGAGUUUUUACAAAUGAUUGAAUUUGACAGAAUCUGAUAUUGCUCAACUCUUGUUUGAGAAUAGAUUCUUUACAGAGUAUCUAAUGACAAUUUCGCAGCUAAUAUGUGAAUGUGCAGCAGUGGCUGUUUCGCGAAUUGCAGAAAGUGAUGUUACCUCUGUUUUGCAGAAUUUCAAGCUUAAGUGUGAUUGUAUAAUGUUGAUUACUUGGCACUUGAAUUUCUUGCUGAGAACUGAGAUAAUGGCCUUCUAUUUAUAGGCUGGAGAUGUACGAAAUAGCUGUUGGAGAGGCCAUGCUUUUUUGACUAAAACAUUAUUUUUAGAAUAAAAAUAAUGCUGCUUUGAAAACAGCUUUUUGACUUUUGAUGUUUUAGCAUUGAAAGCAUUUCUGUCCUUUCUUUGACAUUUCUUCAUUGAUCUUGGAUGGUACAUUAUUUGUCUUGAGUCUUGAGUGAAGCUAGAGGAGGUUGGAGAAGAUUUGAAUCGAAUUGCAGACUGAAACAGAGAGGAUGCAAGGCUGCUGUUGAUGUGCAGAAAACGGAGAAUGAUUAACGUUCUUGGUUUUAUCAGUUUGAACGUUCUUGAGCUUCAAUAAUCAUUCUGGAGUUCCCGUUUUGAAUGUUCUGUAUUUCCUUUGUUCUUGUCUUGUCAUAUACCCAGUUUGAUCAAGUUUUCUUGACAUUUGAAUUUUGGAGUUCUUAAGCCGUCAUGACUUUUGUCCAUGUUUAAACUCUUUGAUCUUUGCGAUCAAAUAUCCUUUUUGAGUCUGGAUUAUUUGUACUUGUUCCUUGCCAUGUACUUGUUAGAUAUGAAUGAUUUCCAGAGCAGAUUCUUUGUUAACGAUGUAGAUAAACUUUGAACAACAUGCUGUGAUAGAUAGUUCGGUGAAGCUGAAGAUCAUUCUCUGUUUAUGAUGCAGAAUGAUCUUGUUGUUGUCUUUUCUUGUAUUUGCUUGAUUCUGCUCUUAAUUAAAAUCACUCAAGAACACAAGUUAAAUUAACAUAAUAUUUAGAAUCAUAAUUAACAUUCUUAAUUAACCUUUGUUUAUUUUCAUCAAAACUUUAAAAUAGAGAGUUUGUCUCAACAUCAAUCUCGCCAUCAUGAAGCGUGACAUUUCGAUAAUGAAUACUAUAUAAAUGAGAUAACCCUUAAACAUAUUGUCUUAAAAUGUGAUGUUCAACCCACGUAUGUGAUUGCUCUUAGUCCAGUAUGUGAUUUCUCUUAGUCCAAUGUGAUGAUCCCCAACCCCUUAUGACCAACACAGAUGAAUAAAAGGAGCACAAAGAACCCAUCCACUUUUUAUUAAUCCUUAAUGUAAUUUGACAGGGCAUUUAAAAGUUCAUCAACAAAAUUAAAACAACUCACAAACAUAAAACAAGCAGCAUUGAAAAAGUUUACAAAUUAUAAAACAAAUAAUUUAAACAAACAAGAUGUAGGCACAUGUGAGAAUGUAAACUAAUCAGAAGACUUUUGGGACAUUUUUUUAGAUCCUUGGAAACUUGGUCCAUGGUUGGGCGAGAAGACUUCUACGGCCAAACACUUGGUGUUUUACUACCAAAAAAUAAAUCGUAGUUGAUCAUAACUUUGGACACUUGUGGAAAACUCACUCAACAAGUCUAACACUAGUACAAAAGUAUUUUGGAGCCUCCAAAUUCAUGUUAUUGUACUUCCUCGCAUUUCUCAUACUAGGUUGGUCUGCGACAUUAUUCACUCAAGUAACACUAUAUGUGACAUCAUGUCAAAUGUAAGGGUCGUCUCCAAAUUACAAACACAGAGCAAAUAUACAUGCAUAUAUAGUUGUUAUAGUAAAAAUAUAAAUAAAUCAUAUAUUUCAUUUAAUAGUUAAAAUCACAAAGCACAAAAGAUACAAAUCAACCAAAAUGCACAAAUCCUAUUGUUGGGCUAUAUGUCAAUGCAUUAUUCCAGAAUAUCACCAUCUUGUAAGACAAAGAGCCCACCAUUGAACAAUGUCUCACUGUUGAACUUGUCCCACCAUUGGACAAAUGUUCUACAGAGUUUCAUGUUCAGUAUCCCAUCGUUGAGUAUUUUUCUGAAUCACGUUGCCUUUUGCUAUGAACUGUCGUCACAUACUUGUGACUAGGUUCAUGCCACCAAUGCAUGCAUGAAUGUCAUCAUCUUAGUUACAAAAUAUAUCACUCAACCAGAAUGUCCAAAACCAAAUUGGUUUAGACACAAAGUCAUCACCUCGAAUAACCACAACAUGUCAAGCACAACCAUUAUAACAACAUGUCAUAUAACGUUUAUUUUUCACAAUUUGAACAUGUCAAACGCAACCAUUAUAACAACGUAUCAUAUAACAUUUAUUUUGAAGAUAAAACACAAACAUAACCAAUACAUAACAUCACCGUUCAUUUAUAUCACAUAUAAUUCAAGUAGGAAAGCGAAUGAGGUGAGACCCUUACCGUUAUGAGUCUCGUUAUUAAGAUUUCUAAGUAGCUGUAUUUGCUCCAAAAACAUUACACCUUCACAAAUUAAUUUACUAUCCACUAAUUGUCAAAACCUAUCUGUCCCUGAUUUAUAUUAAAGGUUUGAUGUUGGCUUAAGGGUUUAGGACAAACCAUUUCUUUAUAUUUUUAAAGAUACCAAUUCUCUCAAAUUAAAAUAUAAGUUAAUUAACAUCAAACAAUGUAAAAUAUAAUAUGAUAAUACUAAUUAAUAAUCGGGGAAAGAGUGAGUAAUAUUAUUUUGAUAAAUAAAAACUACAGACACCCAAUUUUUUCUAUUUCUAAUUAAUCACUUACAAAAUUAUAAUUAAUUCAAUUAAAUAAAUUAUUAAUUUAAAUAAUAUUUAAAAUUAUAAUUAAUCACUAUUUUUAUUAUAAAUUAAUUAAAUAUAUAUUCAACUAAACUAAAAAAACCCUAAAAAAAUUAUUAUGAAAACUAUAUGAAAGUAGGUUUUUCAUGACAAAUGAUGUAGCUAAGGGUUAUUAUUAUGAGAACGGCGUGAAUCAAAGCAGAGAAGUAUUCCUUAUAUAGUAUCAAAUUAAUAUUAUAGACGUUAAAAGCAUGUUGGAGGGCUAUUAGGUAAUUUCUAGAUAAGAAUAUAAAUGAUGAUGUGGGUAAUCAUUAAGAUUAUUGUUGUUGGAAGAGCAGUAUUCCUAUGAGAACACCGUGAAUCAAAGCAAAGCAGAAUGCCUUAUAUAGUAUCAAAUUAAUAUUUUAGAAUUAAAUACCUAUUGCUAUUAUUAUUGUUAUUAUAUAAUUAAAUUUUAUAAUGUGAAUUGAAUUUUAAAUUUAUUAAUCUUAAUUUAAGCCUAGCAUGUAUAUUUUCAGAAUUAAGACAGACAAAUCUCUAUACCUUCCUUCACGCGGAAGAAUAUGAGUGGGUCAUGAGUAGUAUAUAUACAUAGUUAUUCAUAAGUUUUUUACACUCAAUACACUAAACACAUUACUGCUGAAAAAAAUGGCUCCUCCUUCAUACACUGCUCAUGUCAGCACUUAUGCAAAAUUUGUUGAUGUCUUUGACCGACUUAGUUCAAAGUGGGAUAAAACCCAAAGUUAGGUUCGUUGUUGGAAGAGAAAUCAACUUUGUUUGUUACGACUACAUGUUUGAGCUGAUUGAAAACAACAAUGUGGACAAGGAUCGUAGAGAUAGGAUUGCUAAUCCACGUCCUGAGCAUCGCCCACGUCAACCUCCCAAUCCACUUCCAAUCAUAACAGUGCACAACAGGGAGGAGUUGUCCGAUGUCAUCUUAAGCAAUGGUGCUUACUUCAAGGCGCAAGUUCCUCAUGGUGUUGCCGAUCGCCGACCACUCAUUCUCGCCAUCAUGAAGCGUGACAUUGCGAUAAUGAAUAUUAUAUAAAUGAGAUAACCCUUAAACAUAUUGUCUUAAAAUGUGAUGUUCAAUCCACAUAUGUGAUUGCUCUUAGUCCAAUGUGAUGAUUCCCAACCCCUUAUGACCAACACAAAUGAAUAAAAGGAGCACAAAGAACUCAUCUACUUUUUAUUAAUCCUUAAUGUAAUUUGACAGGGCAUUUAAAAGUUCAUCAACAAAAUUAAAACAACUCACAAACAUAAAACAAGCAGCAUUGAAAAAGUUUACAAAUUAUAAAACAAAUAAUUUAAACAAACAAGAUGAAGGCACAUGUGAGAAUGUCAACUAAUCAGAAGACUUUUGGGACAUUUUUUUAGAUCUUUGGAAACUUGGUCCAUGGUUGGGCGAGAACGUGGACUUUCAGUCACACAAGAAGCUACAAUCCUUAUAAUCGAUACUAAAUCAUUAACAAUUGGAUUUAAAGGAGGAGGUAGUCGUUCGUCAAACUUAUCCAUCAAUGACUUAGUACCAGUUGUUGAGCUCACUGUAGUCCAUAAAGAUGAUAACAUUGAAUAAGAUGUAACAUCUCCCGGGUGUUUUCCAAAAAGUAUUUUCAAUGCAAAAAUUCCAAAACUAUACACAUCACAUUUUUCAUUAACUUCCAUUGUGUAUGCCAAUUCUGUAACAAUUCAAAAGAGGAAUCAUGUAUAUAAUUAAUAAUGAAGUAUAUAUGUUCCAAAUUGAUAAUAAGGAAAGGGAAUUAACCUGGAGCAGCAUAUCCAAAGGUUUUAGCAUAUGUGGUCCUAUUGGUUGAAUUAGGAUUAAGAAGCUUAGAUGUCCCAAAGGUAGAGACAUGAGCCACAUAUUCCAAAUCCAACAAAACCUUCUUGCUCGAUAUAUCUUGAUGAACAAUUGGAGGUGAACAAUCGUGGUGCAUGUAGCACAAAGCAUUAGCUACAUCUUUUAUGACAUUCAUCCUCUUACUCCAAUCCAAUGCAAUUGUUUGUUCCUCAUCUUUCAAAAUCUUAUCCACACUACUUUUAUCCAAAAAUGAGAAUCUAGAAUGUGAACAAAACCCGUAGAGCUUGACAAUGUUAGGAUGCCGAAUUUCUAUCAGAGUUUUGAUCUCAUUUGUGAAAGCUUUCAUAGUAGACAUUUCUUCAUUUGGUACUGAAUUCAUUUUUUUGACAACAACAACUUGACCCGUGGGUAAGUCUGCUUUGUAAACACUUCCAUUCCCUCCAACUCCAAUGGGAUAUUUGUCAUCAAACUCUUCUGUGGCAGCAAUAAUGUUCUCAUACACUAUUUUUCCAUCAUAACCCCAUAUUGCAAAUACGUUUUGAGCAUUUGUUUCUGAACCUUGAUAUUCUUUUCUGGUUGAAAUUUGGCAACGAUGAUAUGAGAAUCCAAAAAAUACUAAUGUUAGUAUUAGAAUUCCAACUAUAAGGGGUAAAACUAAUAAUAAGACUUUCUUAAUCUUAUCAUGAGAUUUACUGCUUGUUGUUGUUGGGCAAGGCUCCAAGCCUGAGAUAUUACCACACAUGCCUUUAUUAUUUUCCAACAGCUCAAAUGUAGCAUAGUUGAAAGCUUUCAUGUUUGGAAUUGGACCCUCCAAUUGAUUAAAUGAUAUAUCAACAAAUGAUAAGCUAAUCAUUUGAUUGAAAUUGGAGGGAAUAUGACCAGAGAGAUUAUUAUGUGACAGAUUCAUUUUUUCUAAAUAUUUGAGCAAGCUAAAUGGGGAUGGUAUUGUUCCAUUCAAACAAUUUCCACUAAGAUCAAGAAUUUGAAGAGCUUCGAAUUGACCAAAUUCAACUGGAAUAUUUCCUUCAAAUUUGUUUUGGCUCAAAUUCAAGUUAAAUAACCUUGGCAAAUUUGCAAGUUGUUUUGUGAUUAAGCUAGUUAAAUUAUUUGCUGCAAGCUCUAAGUUAUUGAGUUGCUGCAAUGAUGACAUUUGUGUAGGAACAUUUCCUAAAAGACGGUUGUUACUCAUCACAAGGUUGAUCAACAAAGUUAACUUGCCUAACUCCUCUGGAAUUUUUCCUGUAAGAUGGUUUCAAGACAAGUCGAGUAACUCUAACUUGGUUGCCUCCCCUAGUUCUGGUGGUAUGCCACCAGAUAAGUUAUUGUUGGAGAUAUCAAGGCUUGUGAGGUUGUAGCACUUUCCCCAAUUGGGAGAAAGGUGGCCAUAAAAUUUAUUUUCACUUAAUCCCAUGUAGUCCAAAUUUGGAUAUACACCAAAAUCGUUAGUUAUAUUUCCCGUAAAUUGGUUUUGUUCAAGCCUAACUCUAAUGAGACUAGAACAAUUUUUCAAAUUCAUUGGAACUGGACCUGUGAAGUGAUUAUUCAAUGCAGAAAUUCUUUGCAACAUUCCACCAAUGCGAAUGUUGUGUGGCAACUGGCCAAUGAAAUUAUUAUCAGCUAAUUGCAAAUUUUCCAAAUUGAUAAUCAUGUUCAUUUCAGUAGGAAUGAUGUCAGUUAGUUGAUUUGAGAACAAAAAUAUUUCUCUAAGGUUGUUCAAAUUUUUUAUAGUGGAAGGAAUUGGUCCUGAGAAUUGAUUCUGAGAUAUGUAAAUGGAUUCCAAAUUGACCAAGUUACCUAUGGAAGAUGGGAUUGAGCCAGAGAGUUUGUUAUCUACCAAUUGGAGAGUGGCGAGAGAAUAUAGUUUACCAACUUCAUUUGGAAUUGAACCACUAAAACUAUUUGUAUAAAUAUAAAGAUACAUUAAAUUGCUCAAGUUUCCAAUUGUAGGUGGGAUAUUUCCAGAGAGAAAAUUACUUGACAAAUCAAGUUGGUACAUAUUUGUCAUCAUUCGAUUUCAUGAGGAAUUGAACCAGAAAGAUUAUUGUUUUGAAGCCACAAAAUCGUCAUGUUGACCAACUUCCCAAUUUCCUUAGGAAUGUCUCCUGAGAAUGUGUUAUUAUCAAGUCUUAGAUGCUCUAGAUUGGUCAAGCUUAAAAUUUCUAAUGGAAUAGAUCUAGAAUAGUUAUUGUCAGAAAGGGUGAGUUCUCUCAAGCUUACCAACUCUCCAAUCUCCCGAGGGUUGCCAGAAAUUUGGUUAUGAGCUAAAUUUAGAUAUGACAAGUUAACCAAUUUUCCUAUAGAAAAUGGGAUAGGUCCCGUGACAUUGCAAUAUGUUAGUGAAAGUUUUAUCAAAUUUCUCAAAUUGGAAAGUUGUUUGAGGGCAGGACCAUCGACAAAAACUCCAUUAUGGCCAAUAUCUAAAGUCUCUAACUUAUGCAGCUUCACAAUAUCUUGGGCAUUUAUAGAACCAUUAAAGUUAUUUAGGUUAAUCACAAAGUACUUCAAGCUCUGCAAAUUCCAAAUUUCUUUUGGAAUGUUGCCAGAAAGAUUGUUCUCUGCAAGAUCUAAAUGUGACAACAAUGACAAGUUCUCAAUAGAAAUUGGAAUUGUCCCUUCUAGAUUUGCUUGUGCUAUACUAAGCUCUCUCAAAUUUUUUAAUGCACCUAUUUCUCGAGGAAUGGAACUAUUGAAAAGAUUACCAUCCAAAUAUAAUGUUUGAAGAUUGGACAAAUGUGUUAUUUCAUAUGGAAUUGUUCCUAUGAAAUAAUUGGCGCUAAGAUCAAGAUGAGAGAGUUUGGACAAGACCCCAAUAUUGGGUGGAAUACUUCCAUUCAAGAAGUUGUGACUAAUAUUUAGAGUGAGGAUGUUUGGAAGUAAUGAGAAGUUGAGACUUUCAAGCGUACCUCUUAAUCCUAUGUUGUUGAGAUUUACGUUGGAGACAUGUUUGAACUCAUCACACGUAAUUCCCAACCAGUUGCAUGAAUUGUUGCCUGUCCAUGAAGAUAGCAAAGUUUGGCUUUGGUUGUCAAAUGUUGUUUUCCACUUCAACAAAGCACUUGCUUCUAUGCUUUGUAUAGUUGAAGCACUAAAUGACAUUGUCAAGGCUAUUGUCAAAGCAAAAAACAACAUUACUAGCUUCAUGGACUGAAGCAUUGGAGAAAUGAAAAUCAUGCUUUGUCUAAUACAAUUUGAUAAAAUUGGAAUUGGAUGCAUAAAUGAAGAUACUUUGUGUUUGUAAUUUAGAGACUCGUGUGUUGUGUAGUUUAUGUGGUGUUGUAGAGUAUUUAUAGGUAAGGAACAAUCACUUCUACGAGAACAAGUCUUAAUAAUAUUGUUGUGGAAACUUAAUGAUAUAAUGUGAUAUGUACUAAAAGUGAUUGACUAUUCAAUAGUAAUACCCACUAAGAUAAAUUCUUUAGUAACCUAGUGAUUAUGUGGGGUUAAAGUAUAUACAAUGGAAAAAUAAUUUAAAAUUCAAUUUAUUUAAAAGUUGAUUUUAUAAUUUAAGUUUUAAUUAAUGUUUUACGUAUAAGAUAUUGGUAAUUUUUGGAUACUACAUAAUUUACCUUAAUAAAUAUGAUUUGAUAAUAUUUACAAAUAAAUUUAUAUUAGUUUCCACUUAAAACAAGAAGUAGCUAGUUGGCUAAAACCUCACACAUUUAGAAAAGAUUACUUUUAAUUUUUUAAAGUACUAUCACUACUUGUUUUAGUGUUUAGUUUUUAUAAAUAAAAAAUUAUUUAAUUACCGUUACAUUUUAAAUUAUAUAUUUUAAUAAAAAUCACUUUUUUCAUAAAAGAGUAUGUACUUUUUUUUUGGUUGCAUUGUAAACAUAUUAUAUAUAUCAUAUAUAAAAGUUUUUUUUACUAAUAAAAGAGUAUGUACUCAUGUUAGUGAAAAUAUGUACGUACUAGUAUCCACUAUGAAAAUCCACACACACAUAGUUCUUUAAUUCUCAUGCAAUAUACUAAAAGAUUAUUGGUCUUUUAUUUUCAUGCCGUAGCGUCCAACGGCUUUUUCACCGAACAUUAAUUAGCAUGAAGAGAAACGAUAUAUAUAUAUAUAAUAGAAAAUAGUACACAAUACCAUGGAGGCAGGCACGAGGGUGUGCUAGACUUAGACAUGUUGCCUUAUAUAUAUGGCUUCAAAUUUUUAGGAGCAUGGUUUUUAGAAAAAUACAUAUUAGUAAAUAUUUAAGAGACUAUUUUUUUAGGUUAAGGUAUCUAACAAACCUGUGGAUGAAUGUUGCCGCUAGAAUUUGAAAUUACUAUAUUUUCAGUUUGAUAUAUAUAUAUAUAUAUAUUGAGUUGUGAGAAGUUAAACUUUUUAUUGAUUAAUAACAAGUUAAAUAUUUGAUAUAUAUGAUAGGUAUUCUAUAUAUGUAAUGUGAGUUUGGAUGAGAUAUUUUUUUGAGAGAAUGUAAUUUUAUAUAGAGUAAUGUUAUUGAAAUACAAUAAUAUUUAUUUUAUGUCAAAUUUUAUGUUUCAAUAAUAUUAUUCUUUUUAAAGGGAAUUCAAAUCUUUCAAUGCAAAUGAUUUUGUUUGAAUAAUAAAUUUGAAGAAUUUUCAAGAUAAAGGGAUUUAAUAAGCUAUUUUAUUAAAGUUAAAUUUAGAUAAUUUGAAAUACCACAUAAAACCAAAGAAUUUAAAAUUCCCUCUUAAUUUUACAAAAUAUAAAUCAUAACAUGGUCUCUAUAAUUUUUUAAAUUUACAAUUUUGACCCUAUAUGUUUCAAAUUUUAAUACUAGUCCCUAUAUUUUUUUUGCAAAGUGGUUUCUAAAUAUUUUUCCAAAGUUUGUAAAUUGGUCCCUAAAAAUUUGCAAAAUAGUCCCUCAACUUUUUUAAAAUUUCAGUUUUUACUCAAAUUAAAUUUUCAUUUUUGCCUCAAAACUUUUAAAAAUUUUAAAAUAACUCAAAGAACAAAAUUUAGAAAUAAAGGAAAUUCCAAUGAAGCAUUUGAAUUGCUUAAAAUUUUAAUUUUCAUAGAAUUUUCAAUUACUCUAUCCAAAUACACUUAAGAAUUUUGGAUAGAGAUACGGUACCAAAUCUUUUGUGAAAAUUGAAAUAUUUAAUUUAUUAUGGCUCUCACACUCCUCCAAAUUUUCCAAUAAUAUAUAUAACUAAUUUUGCUAUUAACUUUGUCCCCAUAUGUAACAUUUCUUUAAUAAAUGCACAAAAAUUAAGAAAAGUAUAAAUCUAUUGUAGUUUCCAUUUGAUAUGAAAUUUUUUAAAUUCUUAAUUAUGUAAUCUUUAACUUUUAUAUAUGCUGAGUAAAAAAAAAAAACUUUAUGUUAAAAACUAUUUAUAUUUAAAUUUGAUCACCCAUAAAUGUGAUUUAUAACAAGAUAUAACACUAAAUUAAUAACUCGCAGAAAACAAAGUGGUAUUACUGAAUAAAUCAAUAUUGUGAAAUUAUAUUUUAUGUGAAGUCUACAAAGUGGAGUCAAGACGCCAAUGAUUUGCCAAAUCAACCAUAUAUCCUAACCCAAAAUAUAUUGCAACGACUCAUGCAAUUCUUUUUAAUUAGUUUUGGAAUUUUUUACAAGUCUAUCGGGUGUGGUUAGCAAAGUCAUAUAAUUGUCUAUGGACGCGAGGACAAGAAAUGACACGUUGACAAAAACACUUUUGUUAGGGAUAAUUUAGUUUUGUUGGAAUAAUCAAAUUGAUAUUGUUUAAAACAGUUACUAGUGAGUGAUAAUUAUUUGUUUAUUAGUUAUAAUACUCGUCUUAACUAGGAUCAUUAAAUAAAGUGCAUUUAUACACACCAACUAUAAUCAAUUUUAUUUAUGUAUGUGAACUCAUUUGUAGAAGUUUACAAAUUAUAAAACAAAGAAUGUAAACAAACAAAGAUGUAAACUUACUCUAAAAUAAUAGAAGUUAUUUUGAACUCUUUUGUUAUAAAUUUGAAAAGUAAUUUUGAUAUUUAUAUAUUCAUUGUUAGAAAUUUUAAUAUAAUCAGCACAUAUUUUUUAAAGAUGUCUCUCAAAAUUAAUUUAUAUAAGAAACUACUUAAAAUAGUUUAUUUUUUAAAACAUUUUUUGAAAUUUCAUCUAAAAAAAAUAUUAUAACAAAAAAAUAACUAUUUAAACAAUUUCAUUUAAAACUUUGUUUUUACAAAAUGAUUUUGUUUUAUAAAAAAAAACUAUAACACAUGGGUCCGAUCAAUCUUAAUUUCUGGUAUCAAUUUUCUGCAAAGUCCACGAAGUUGGAGUCAAGAUACCAUAGAUCUGGCAACUCAUCAACUCAUUAUAACCCAAAAUGUAUUGCAACAACUCAUCUGAAAUUUUUUUUAAUUAAAAAUAAUAUUCAUUCAAUCAAAUCAAAUUGAAAGAUAUUACAUCGAAUAACAAUAUAAUUUAGAAAUAUUAAAAAUAAAAAAGAGACGAAUAAACAUACAACAUCCAACUUAAUAGCAUUAAAAUAUAAAAUACCUAUAAAUCUGACAAAAUUUAUAAAUAUGACAUAAUUAAGAUAUUGAAAUAAUCAUGUUUUUGAAACUGCAACAUUGAAGAUAAUAAAGUAAUUGAUUGAAUUUGUACAUAUGAAAGUUAAUCUCUCAAUUUAAUACUAAAUAUGUAUAAUAACCAUUUAUUUCUUAAAAGAAAAUGAAAAAAGCAAUUUAAAGAAAUAAUUUUGAAUCAAAAAUUGUUGUUAAAUAACUUCUUUUAUGUGAAUAAAAAAAAGUAGAAUAAAAGAGAUUGGGAAGAGAGUCGUCUAGGUUUUACGCACUACGACUCACACAAAUUGGUCUAAUAAGAUAUUCUUAUAUUGUUAAUUUGUACUAUCUCUUCACUUAGCUUUCUUGUCCCCUUCUUCAUCCUUGGCUAACUUAUCUUUUCUGUUAUUUACUAUGAAUUUAAUUUUUAUAUAUUGUGAAUGUAAAUAUUUUUUAUAUAGUCAAUUAUAUAAGUAAUUUAUGAUAAAAGUUAAAUAUUAUUAAUAAUUUAAUAAUUAUAAUUAAUUGAUAUUGUAAAUUUUUUUCAUUAACAUUGUAUAUAAAUUAAAUUUAUUUAUUAAUUAAUACUAUAUAUGAGUUUAAUUAUCGUGUAUUUUCAAUGUAUAAAAUUUCACACUGUCAAACAUAUUACAAUAAUGCAUAUGCAUGAUUAUAAACUAAUAAAAGUAAAAGUUAAAUAUUUUUAAUAAUUGUCGUUAACAUAUAAGAUGCUUACUUACCUGUGUAUAUGAAUUAAAUGCUAAAUGUGUGCUAGUAUUUACUUAAUAAUCUGGUUAAUAGUCUGGGUGUGAAUGUCUAGUUCUUCUCUUGAACAAAUUUAUUUGCACGUGUAUUUUCUUUGAUGCCUAGAUUAGCUUACUCAUUAGUAUUAGGAUACAAUAAAAAUUGGAUUUUGUGGAAAAAAUGUAAUACGAAAAAAAAAAUAUCACUAAAUGUUUUAUUCUUCAAUGUACGAAAUUAUUAUUAAUUUAAAGUGUUUGGUGACAUCAACGUCUAAACAAACUAAAAAAAAUAUAAAAUAACAUAAUAAAAAUAUUUUUAUUAAAAUUUCCGUCAAUUUUUAUUAAUUACAAUAACUAGGCAAAAAUUGAAAAAUAAAAUAAAACGCUAUAAGUUGGAAAUUCAAAAACUACUUGUAAAAAGUUUUAAAAACUCAAUUGAAAACCUUUUUAUGACAUUUUUAGUAAAGCUUUUCUCCUAAUUAAUCUCUAAGAACUCGUGAGCUAUACUAAUUUUAAAUAAAUAAAUAAAAAAACAACAGUUAAAAUGAGGUAUACUAGCCGUUAGGAUUGGAGCUAUACUAAUUUUCUCCUAAUUAUUCAUUGUAUUUCCAAAAUUUCAUACAAGUUGUUAUCAAAAUCAGUUAUAGUCAUGACUAACACAGACUUAACCAAAAAAACUAACUAAACAAAUAAGUUGGGCUACUCACUAUAGACUGAGUUACAAGGCCCAGCAAAUUCUAAUUAAUGAAAAUUUUCUCUUGUACCCACUCAUUUAUCCCUAUACCCCCAAAAGUAAAGGAAAAAUACUAAAAUACCCUCAUAUAUAUAAAUAUUUUUUUUUUAAUUUCUUCAUUUAACAUUUCUGGAAAACUUCUUUCAAGUUUUCCGGUACACAACUUUCAUUCCGGAAAACUUGAAAAAAGUUUUCCAGAACAUAACAUCAUUUCCGGAAAACUUGAAAAAAGUUUUCCGGUACAGACAUCAUUUCCGGAAAACUUCAACGUAACAUUUCCGAAAACCACUGAAAAACUUCAUCCACAUGUUUUCUGGUAGUUGUUUGAUUGUUUUUUAAAAAUAUUUUUAAAAAUAAUUUUUUUUAUUAUAUUAGUAUUUAUUUGAUUUUAACUAAUUUACAAAUCUUGUUAUGGAAAGGAGUAUUAAUCAUUGAUUAUGGUGUAUUAAUUAUGAAUUAUUAUAGUAUAUUAAUAGUGUAUUAAUUAUUGAAUGGUGUAUAAAUUAUUAAUUAUUUAUGGUAUAUUUAUGUGUGUUAAUUAAUAUUUAUGAUGCAUUAAUUAUUGACUAAUGUAUUAUCAUUUAUAAAAAUAAUAAAAUAAAAUAAAAUAAAAAAUUUAAAUGGUGUGUAUCAGAAAUCUUUAGAAUGAAGUUUUCCGGUAGUACAAUUUUUCACUUCUGUAUCGGAAAUCUUUUUUUAAAAGUUUUCCGGUAACAACUUUCUGUACCGGAAAACUUGAAAAAAGUUUUCCGGAAAUAAGGGGUGUUCCGGAAAAAAUGAAAAUAUAAAAAAAAAAAAAAAAAAAAAAAAUCUUUGAAUUAAUAAAAACAUAAUUGUCAUUUUUAAAAAAUUAUGAGGGUAUAGGUAUAAAAAUGGGGGUAGAGGGGGAAUUUUUCCUAAUUAAUUAUAGUAGGCCCAACACUAGCUACUUCCAUUGAUCACAUAAGAACAAUUCUUCAUGCGCAAGUGUUGUUCUUCUUCUUUGACUUUUUUACAAUCUUCUUCAUAUGUAUUGUUAGCUUAUGGCUUAGAUCAUUACAUAAGAAGUUGGUUUGAGUUUGUUGCUUUUGAACUUUCACAAGAUCAAUUAUUGCUUAUAACUGAAUUCAAUGAAAUACCAAAAAAAUUCCACAACAAUUUGAACUCCAUCCAUUUAUCAUCAAAAUUAUGCAUUCUUUUUGUAAAAUUACUCUAAUCAAUUUGACAAGAAACUCUAAAAUAUUGGCAUCAUAUGAAUCAAUUGACCCAAACCAAAAUAUGCAAAACAAAGUCCAGCCAGCACACUACAACACCAAGUACUAGGUAUUAUUACAUGUUUGUCUGAAACAUCAUAUGGAACACCAACAUAAAACAAACACAAAGUAAUAGCUAUCCUAAAUAUAAACUAAGACUAGAACCUAAUUUUAAUUUUAAAGAUUCCUAGUGAAAAUUGAUCUCAUUCUUUUUUUAUAAAUCACAUCAAUAUUUUUAAAGUUAAUAAAGUAAGACUUUAGCAUGGUCAUAAAAAAAUUAAAAAAAUACUACAAUUUAGUCCUUAAAUCUCAAAUAUUGAUUAAGCUGGUUAAUAUUAUUAUAAUUUACUUAAAAGUUAUAAAAAAAAGGGUGGAUUUGACUCAUAAAAAAUUCUUCAAAACUAAUGUUUUUAUUUUUCAAGAAUCAAUUAGAUAUAACUUAAAAGUCAUUGAUUAAAUCAUACAAAUAACAAUCAUUUUUUAAUGCAACGGUACAAAAUUUAAUUAUGUAAAAUUUUAAAAACAUUCUUUAAAGCAUAUUUGAGACUAGAAUUUUUUAAAAGAAUUAUUUUUAUGAAGAAAAUAUGCCGUCUAAACUCAAUUCUUGAAGCAAACUUGAUUAUGUUUUUACUUGUUGUUAUAGCCUCAAAAUAUUGGUAGUGAUUUACUAUAAAUUAUAACAAUCCAAUAACAAGGAAUUUGCUGCAUAAAUUCUGUAGGUAAAACAACCCAGCAGCCAAAUAAUUAACAUUUAACAAUACAUCACACAAAGGUCCUCUUGUUCCAACUAAUCAAAUAAUUUCAUGUAUUAUGGUUGUAGUUCCUUUACUAGUUAAGUAUAGGUGCACAUCAAAAGUAUUUAAUUAAUAAUCGAGUUUGUUGACGUAUCGUGUAUGCAAUUGUCAAAAUCUUAUAUUUUUUUAUCAAAAUAUUUGAUUGAGGAGAACAUUUAAAGGAUAACAAAAUAUCUUGAUCAAAAUUAAAAUAUUAAAAGAAAAAAAAAACCUUGGACCAAAAAAACCUUAAUUAUGUCUAGAUUAAUUAGAGAAUUGUGCCUCAAUUGUACACUUAAGUCGAACAAACUAGGUUGUUAUUUAAACACCUUUCAUGUGCACCUAUGCACAACAAGCCCAAUCAUCACAAUUAUUGGGCCUCCUUUUAAACUAAUGGGGAGAAACAUAUUCAAUGAAAGGUGACCACGCUUUCAUUAUCAUUUUUCAUUCGGUUUAUAUGUUUAUUCAUUUGUAAAGCUUUCUACUCAUUCCUUAAUUAAUAGUAGUAUAAUAAUAAAUUUAAGUAAAAUUAAUCUUUAAUAGACUAAAAUAUUUGACAUACAUCAAAUAUUUAUAUUGGUUUUAUCCAUACAAAACUAUAAUAACGGUGUUCUCAAAAGUAAUGGAUGAACUAAUGUGAAAACUACUUUCACAUAUGAACUAUUUUUUUAACUUAAUUUUCAGAUAAAUUUCUUUUGUAAUAAUUUUAACAUUAUAAUAUAACUUCUUUUCAGGGUUUAUGUUUUCAAUCUCACCUAUUUAAUUUAAUUUGAAUAAAAUUCAAUCUUUAUUUAUACAAAAUUUAUUUAAUAUACUAGAGUUUUAUGGUACAUUCGCAUAUUAAAAAAAAUUAAUAUAUUUAUUUUAUAAAUCAAUAAAUUAACGAUUAUUUUUAUAGGUGAAAGAGUUAUUUAUUACUUUUAUAUUUUAAAAAAAUAUCAUUUCGUUGUUUAUAACAUUAUAUUAAUUUUUUACAUUUUAUUGUAAAAAUAUUCGAUAUUCACUGUUAUGAAUAAUAAAAAUUCAAAACAAUUAAUUUAUUUUACUGAAGCUUUCAAUAAAUAUUUAACAAUUAAUUCAGUAAUUAAGUAUACUAAUAUACGUCAAAUUGAUUUACCGUACAAAUAACGUGUCUCUCUAUUUCUCUAUUUCUUUUUUAUUGUUUGAGUCAUGUGUUGUUGAGUCAUGUUUAUGGGUUAAUAUGUAUGGGUGUCAUGUAAGCAUCUGUUAUUAGUUAUUAAUAUAAUGUUUAAAUAUUGUGUUUAAACUUGUUUGGUAAGCCUAAGAGUUCAGCUUACAAGCCUAAGAGUUCAGCUUCUCUGUAAGCUGAACUCUUAGGCUUACCAAACAAGUUUAAACACAAUAUUUAAACAUUAUAUUAAUAACUAAUAACAGAUGCUUACAUGACACCCAUACAUAUUAACCCAUAAACAUGACUCAACAACACAUGACUCAAACAAUAAAAAAGAAAUAGAGAGACACGUUAUUUUUCCACACUAGACUCCAUGGCUACACUAACUCAUAAAACUCAAACAAUAAAAAAGAAACAGAUACUUCAUCAUUUUCACUAUGCUUCAACGAAUCGGGACAAGCGCAAUGCGACGCUUCAUGAUGGCGAGAAUGAGUUGUCGGCGACCGGCAACACCACGAGGAACUUUUGCCUUAAAGUAAGCCCCAUUUCUUAAAAUGGCAUCCGACAGCUCCUCCCUGCUGUUCAUCGUUAUGAUCGGAAGUGGGUGGGGAGGUUCACGUCGGCGAUGCUCACGACGGGAGUUAGCGAUCUGGUCACUGCGUUCCUUGUCGAGGUUGUUGUUUUCGAUCAACUCAGACAUGUAUUCGUAACAAGUAGGGGUGAUUUCUCUUCCAACAAUGAACUUCACUUUCGGUUUUAUCUCACUUCCAACCAGCCGCUCAAAGACAUUAAGAAAUUUUGAAUAACAUGAGAAAUGUAGAAAGGAGAAGCCAUUUUUUUCAGGACGUGGAUUAGCAAUCCGGUCUCUACGAUCCUUGUCCAGAUUGUUGUUUUCAAUCAGCUCAAACAUGUAGUCGUAACCAGCAGAGCUGAUUUUUCUUCCAACAACGAACCUAACUUUGGGUUUUAUCCCAUUUCCAACAAGUCGCUCAAAGGCAUUCCCAAAUUUUGUAUCAAUGCCGGCUUUUUACCACCUGGAGCUGUAGUAUGUUUCUUCUCCCCACUAUGAAUGUCAAUAUCCUUCAUUCCUUUCUAAAGUGCUAUUUUUUUCUCCUUUUUUCGAACUUGGUCUCUAAUCCACAAUUUUGGCUACAAAAGUACAAUGAGUUUGUGAGAAUAGCUGGUAUAUAGUGUUAUAUUGCAGUGGUAGUUGAUUAUGACCUGCAAACCAAAGACAAAACUCAUGACAUGACUAGGUAGAGAGAGAGAGAAUAACAUAUUACUCCAAUCGUCACAUUAUAAGUGUCAUUAUAAGUGUCAUUUUAGUUCAUGCACACUUCGUAAGAAAAUAAUUAGUUGUGUUGAUUUUUAGAUUAAAAUAAUGGUGAAGACUAAAAUACACAUUAAUUAGAGUGGUUGGAAGUAGUAGUAAUAGUAGAAUAAUUAGGUGAACUAUUUAAUUAAAGAGGGUAUUAUUUCCUAAAGUGACAUAAUUUGAGACGGAGAAAUAUUCCAAACUUGACAUUUAGAAUCACACGGAGGGAAUAGCAGAAUUACCUCCAAAGUCAUUAACAUAUUAUGCAAUUAUUUUCUUCAAACGAUCAGAGUGUAACGAAUUUUCAUGCCGUUUCCUGAAUAACAAAACAAUUCAAAUAGUCAGAAAUUAAAGAAAUAUGUAGCAGACAUUAUUUUAACAACUAAGAUUAGGAAAAAAUAGUAUUAUUUUAAUUCUUUGAUGCACGUGAAAAAAAUAGCUGCUAUUUGACGGCACUUUAUUCAUAAAAAAAAAUAGCAUAUCGUAAAACAAUAACAAUUUGUUUGAAUUCCACUACGAUAUAGAGUCGAUGUAUCCGCUAUUUGACAAAACGAGUAAAACCUGCAGAAGUUUAUUUGAAAUGAAGAAGAUGUUCUUAUUCGACAUAGUGAAAUUAGAUAAAUACCAUAAAAUAGAGAAGCUAUCCAUAAAAGGUACUUACUGGUGAUAAUUUAACAGGAGACUGUGGUCUUGAAUAACCGUCAUCCUUUUUUUCAGUUUUUAAUAUGAAUUCACUUCUUGGUUCUGUUUGCUCUUCUUCACUAUUUACUGCUUUCGGUUUCCCUCUAUUCCUUGAUUCAGGUUUCCAAUUCGCUUUGAUAAGAGAUUGACUUAGUAAGUGAGCAAUGUUUGAAGCCAUUGCCUCAGCUUUCUUAACAAAUGGAAAUUUUUCCUCAUCAAAGUGGUUUGAUAACCACAAAUAUGAAGAUAAAACUUGAUGCCUACUCUCAA